AUGAGAAUUCUCUCACCUUAUAUGUUUUUUUUUGGUCAAAGAUAUUCAUUAGAUAACUAAAACAGAGUUACCCACCAAUACAAAUAGAGAGGUUCAGGGCCUUAAGGGCCGAUUUUGCUAAAACAUCAGAAGGCUCAUUAAAGGAGCGCUUAAUAAAAUGAAAGGAGAUAGAAUGAAAGUGAGCUCUCAACGAUCUGAUAUCAUGGAGAAUUCCCUUCAGCUCGUUUGAAUCUUCACCUGAGCAAAGGAUUGAAACAAGGGUCUGCGAGUCAGAGCAGAAUUGGAGCGAAGAAAGACCAGCUUCAAGAGCUGCUUCCAUGGCUGAUUUUAAAGCAAAGGCUUCCGCCGAAAGAGCCGAUGCGACAAAGUUCCUUGAGCUUGUGUUUUGAAGGACUGGUCCAUUGUGAUCCAUCUUUAUAAUCCAGCCAAGUCCACAGUGUCCCGACGACACGUCCCAUGCUGCAUCCACGAAGCAGCACGAAGCAUCCAAAUUCAGGGGAGGCCCUGUUCGUUGUUCCCCUGUUUUCACUUUUGGUAACUGUUGUUGUGCACCUUGCCAACUGCGAGCUUCCCUUACCGCUUUAAGGAUUACCUCCUGUUCCGAGCACUGCUCUGCUUUGAAAAUCCUUUGAUUUCGGGCUUUCCAAAGGAACCAGAGGAUCCAUGGGUACAACGGUGCAUGAGAAAGGCCUGAGGGAGGGAGGUUGAUCAUCUUCUUAAUUUCCAGCAGUACACUUUUCAUUGAAUUCAGGUUGGCUUGUCUAGGCUGGAGAAUCGUUGGGGCAAGGUCCCAGACUUUUGCCGCAAAAGGGCAUCUAAAGAAGACGUGAAUCUCAUCCUCCACUUCACCACAAACUUUGCAGGUUACAUCCGAUGUAAUCCCUCUAUAUUGGAGGGAUUUCCCCAGAGGGAGGGCAUGAGCCACCGAUUUCCAGAGAAAGGUUUUUAGUUUGGCAGAGGUACGAACCUUCCAGAUAUUGGAUUGCCAAUUGAAACCAUCCCUCUCUAGGGGUUCAGAGUGAAGCUUAUUUAGAGCAUACCCGGUUUUUGUUGAGUAAAUUCCUGAUUUUGCAGGUAACCAGACUAAGGAGUCGUCUAAUCGCCUUGAGCUUAAAGACAGUUUCCUGAUCUGAUCCUCAUAAAGAGGUAAGUGAAGUCUUAUGGCUGCAAUAUUCCAGCUAGGCGGGUUUUGAUGUAUUAAGGAGUCAACAUUGAGGUCCAUUGUUUCAGCAGUUGGUGGUCCAAAAGGGGACAGGGGAGUAGAUGUAGAGAGCCAAGGAUCGCGCCAAAUAUUUAUACUCUGUCCAUUACCCACCAACCAACCUAAUCCUUUUUUCAGAGUUUCUCUUCCUGCUAGAAUACCUUUCCAGCCAUGAGAAGCAUUUGAAGGACAAGAAGACUCCAUAAAGGAGGAAACAUGACAAUAUUUGCCCAUAAGAACUUGACCAAGCAAGGAAUGUGGAUUUUUAAGGAGUCUCCAGCUGAGUUUGGCCAAGAGAGCAUCAUUAAAUCGCUCAAGCUCUCGGAAACCCAGCCCACCUGCAUUUUUGGGAAGUGUUAGUUUGUCCCAGGAAACCCAACACAUCUUUCUCUUGUCUGGCUUGUCAUCCCACCAGAAGCGAGUUAAUGCCGCUUGAAUCCUUUUGUACAUUGAGCCUGGAAGUUUGAAACAAGUCAUAGCAUAAGAAGGCAUCGCAGCCAACACAGCUUUGAGAAGGAUCUGUUUGCCUGCAGCCGAGAGGAAACGGGACGACCAGCUUCCUGCUUUUUGUCUAAUCUUGUCGACAAUGGAAGUAAAGAUAUCCCUCUUGCGCCUCCCAAAGUUCUCCGGAAGCCCAAGAUAUUUACCAACUCCCCCCUCCAAAUUGAUUCCUAGGGAGCGUUUUACUCGAUGCUUGAACUCUGCGGGAGUCUUUGAUGAGAAAGUAAUUGAAGACUUGUUGGUAUUAAUGGUUUGUCCUAAUGCCGCCUCAUACCGUGUUAGUAUUGAUCUUAGAGCCUCGCAGCAAGAACCUUUUGUUUUUGUGAAAAACAUCGUAUCAUCCGCGAAAAGGAGAUGGUUAACCGGGGGGCUGCCAUGCGCUACUUUAACUCCAGGAAGAGUCCCAUUCCUUUGAGCUUUACGGCAUAGACCCGAAAGGACCUCGGUACAUAGGAUAAAUAGGUAUGGUGAUAAGGGGUCGCCUUGGCGGAGACCUCGAGUUGGGCUAACCAUACCUUGCGGAUGGCCAUUGAUAAGGAAAGAGUAAUUGACAGAGCUUACACAAGUCUUACCCAGCCUAUCCACUUCUCUUGGAACCCCAGUCUAGUCAACACUGCUCUUAGAAAACCCCAUUCGAUUCGGUCGUACGCCUUGCUUAUAUCCGUUUUGGUCGCCAUAGAGCACCGUUUUUGUGCUUUUGAAAUGCGGAGAAAAUGUAAAAUCUCAUGCGUGAUUAACACGUUAUCCGAGAUAGCACGAUUCGGGACGAAAGCAGAUUGAUGUGGUGAGAUGAGCUGUUCUAGGAGGGGUUGUAGUCUCCGGGUUAGGAUUUUGGCGAUGAUCUUAUAAAACACAUUGCAAAGUGCAAUAGGCCUAUAGUCCGCAACCUUCUUAGGUGCUUUGAUCUUAGGGAUGAGGCAUACAUACGUAGAGUUUUGUUGUUGGUGAAUCACUCCCUGAUCAAAAAAAGACCAAAUUUCUCGGGAUACAUCUGGGCCUAUAACAUCCUAAUAACCAUGAAAGAAGCUGGCCGAGAAGCCGUCCGGUCCCGGUGCUUUAUCCGGGUGGAUUGAGAACACGGCUGCACGAAUAUCCUCAAGAGAGGGGGCCUUUGUUAACUGAUCAUUCAUAUCCUGUGUGAUACAAGGUGUCAAGACCUCUGACACUAUCUGGAAAUCCGUAUUUCCAUUUGAGGUAAACACCUUGUGGAAGUAGUCUGCAAUAGUCGCAGCAAUUUGGUUUUCCUCAUGAACAGAGGUACCCUGUUCCGUUUCAAUCGUAUUCAGCCUAUUCUGGUGUCUCCUGCCUCUUGUGACCGCAUGAAAAAAUCCAGUGUUCCUGUCACCAUGUUGGAGCCACUGAAUUCUACUUCUUUGACGCCAGAAUAGCUCUUCCUCUCUAUAAGCCUGCUGGAGCUCCUCAGUUGUAGACCCAAUCUGUUCUGGAUCCGGUAAUAGUGCUGAGAGGAGAUCCUCAAGUCUAGACUGCAGGUCAUUGAUUUUCUUGUUGCUGUUACGGUUCUGAGCUUUAGACCAUUCAAUAAUGGCUCUUCUACAUCUCAUUAUCUUGUUUUCCAAGGGUUCACGCUGGAAAUGAUUCCAGGAAUCAACAAUUACCCCUUUAACUUCCUCAUUUUGCAGCAGCCUGCGAUCAAAUCUGAAAACUCCCUUUCUCUUCCUUCUUGAUUCAUCAGAGAAAGUUACUAGUGGUCUAUGAUCCGAGCCCUCAAAGCGGAGGUACUGGCAGCGACCCGAGGGAAAGGUUUCAUUCCAUGAACAAUUGGCCAUCGAUCUAUCCAGUCUGGAUUUAAUAUAAUGGGUAUGACGCUUACCCCUCCACGAUAGAGGAUUUCAGCAUGUUUGAUAUCCCAUAGUCCAUUCUGGGAAACAAAACUCUGGAAGUUGAUAAAAGAACCUUCAGAGCGAAGAGGCCCACCGAUCUUCUCGGAAUUAUCCAGUAUUUCAUUAAAGUCGCCUGUGAGCAGCCAUGCCAUCUCUCUGCCCUCUCCCAGCAAGGAGAUUUCAUCCCAGAACUCUUUUCGAUUUUCUUGUUGUGGCUGCCCAUAGAUGAAAGUGAUAAGGGACGAUGCCCUGCCAUUACUCUUGAUCUGAGUAUCUAUAAAGUUUGGAGAAGAAGAUAAAAUUUCUAACUCAAUUUCUUCUUUCCAAAAUAAGGCCAGUCCACCACUCAAACCUUGUGGAGGAACCGUAAACUUGUUACAAUAACCUAAAGUAUCAAAAACAUGGAACACAUGAUCAUCUUGGUUUUUCGUUUCCAUGAGAAACACUAUAUCCGGGAAGAUGGUAUCUUUAAACUCCCGGAUUUGACGAACUGUAAGGGGGUUUCCAAGCCCUUGACAGUUCCAGCUCAAAGUGACUAAGGAAGCGGGUUUGGGGGGAUCCGAAAAUCCACCCGUCCCUUGCUUGUCGCCGGAAUUAAGGUCACUAACGAAGUAGUACUGGGGCCAGGUUCAUGUGAUCCAACUUGAAUAGGAGCCUCUGGAGGUAAUUCCACACUGAGUCUUCUUCUAGUACUGUUUUGGGCUCGCAGGACAUUUGCUUUCCUCAGACUAACUCCCUGCACCGGACUCCUGUUGGCCCUUGGGCAAGUAGAUGGUUUCGGAGGUUUUGUUGCUUUCUUCUUGUUUUUUCCUCUGGUCACUGCAGCUUUCUUGGGUUGCUUCUUACUGGCUGACGGGCCUGCAUCUUGGACUGGUGAAGGGCAAAGUCUUAAAGAAGCCGGAAUCCUCAUAGAGGAGCCUCCUAUGUCAGGAGAAAUAGCAUCUGGCAGGGAACUCAAGACCAUGUUUUGCUGGCUUGCAAGACUUAGAGUCUGAUUGUGAAACAGAGGAGGAGGGAAAUCACCCCUCCCUAACUCCGUUUACUGGUUGGCUUCCUCUGCAUACCGAAUCUCGAUGUCUUGAAGAUGGUCUGAUUCUACAGAAUGAGUCAGAACUGGCAGGGGUUGUGGGUGAGACGUUCCCCCCAAGGAAAGGCGUUCAAGCGCUGGUCUCCUAGUUUUAGGGAUACUGGAGACUUCUCCCUGCUCCGUGGGUGGAGGGGCCAUUUCCUCUCUUUGAGGUCUUGGAGGAGGAGUUCUUGCAGAGCGAGGUCUUGAGGAAUCUUCUCUGUGCAGGCUUCCCUCUGGGAUCUUAGAUUCUUCGCGUCUAGAGAAGUUAUCCCGAGAUUGGGGUAGUGCAUGUUCGACCCCUGUACUUCUUUCCUGACGUGGGGGGAGCUCACCAACACGGGAAAAUGAACGAGGAUGUACCCCUGGUUUCAUCACCGAGGAUUCACCAUGUCUAGAACGAGAGACGUCAUUUCUUACUGGGCUCCAAGCCAUAGAACGAUGAGAAGAUCCUCCAUAGGGAUGAUAUCUGGGGGUGGACCGGUUUGAUCCCCUCUGAAGCUCACUAUUAUGAGAACGCUGACUAGGAGGACCUCUCCUCUCCACACCAGGUCUGCUAAAGGAUUUACCUCUCAAAACAGAGUACUCUCUGUUAUUUGAAAGUGAGGGUCUGAGGGAUUUCCUCUCCUCUCCUUUUCGCCUGUCUGCUUCCAACCUAGAGAGAGUUCUCUGUUGGUUAAUGUCGGUAGACUUAGGUUCCACUCUAUCAGAAGAAGCACGUCUGGGACAGCCUUAUAUGUAUCAUCUACUACACAAAAUAAAAUAAAAAAUUAUCAUAGAAAACAAUCUCUACAAAAAAGGAAAGUAAAAACAAAGGACAAAUCCAAAUUCAGCCAAUAAAAGAUUAAAAGAAACAGCAAUUUAGAUUCCGGUGAUCGGAGUUUCAAGACGUCGCCUUUGAAGAACCUCCCGUGUCCACUUUCACGGCGCGUUCGCGACGCAAGCUGCUUCCUCUUGUGUACGGCUUCUUAGCACCCUUGAAAGAGAAAACAUAGAGGUUCACAAAGUUUUGAAUUACAUGUUUUUUCAAAAAGAAAUAUUUUUCGCUCUCAAGAACUUAAAUCUAAACACAAUGAGUAUUUCUUUUAUGUUAAGGUACGAACCCUUUUGUUUUUGCUCACCUGGAAGAUCGUUCCAAGUUUCUUCAGUCCUAUGGCACGAGCUCGAAGAACAUCCUUGGAAACACUUGGAUCUUUAAGCACCUGUGAGAGAAAGGGACAAAAUUAACACCUAAUUGAUUGUUGCUACAAGAAAAAUGGUUGUAUAAUGUAUGAUGAAUCUUAGUAUCUUACAGAUUGGCAAACACGAGAUAGAGUGGAUUCGAUGUCGAGAACAUUGAUUUGCCAAAGAGAUUGAAGCAAAGCAUCCAUCUUAGCUUCAAUGGCUUUCUGAAUAUGCUCCUCUUUGUUCUCUCCUUGGUGUUCAUUCAGCUUGUUCACUUCAUCCUGCAACUGAAGUAACAAAACCGCACCUACAGAUCAAAACAAAAUCAUCCAACGUAAGUAAAGAUUUUGUUAAGUUAGAAAACCAAAACACUUUGGUUUAUAUAUUGCUUUGUUUUAUACCAGAAGCAGCCAUGACUUGAGAUUUCAUAUGGUGGCCUUUGUCACGCACCCAUUCCGCUAAGAACGGCACUUUCAUAUACCGCUUGUCUUUACCGAUUUCUUUAGCAGCUUUUCUUGUGUAAAUGUAACCAAUAGUAUGCAUCAUUGCUUCGCCAAAACCUUAAACAGCAGAGCAAGAUUAUGGAAAAAAUUUCAGUUUCUAUACAGUUUGUGCCUAGCUUUCUUGGUUUAUAUGAAAAGACAUUCAUUUAUAGGUAAAAUGCAAAGGGGGGGUUUACCGGCAGAAGAAAGCCGCUUUGCCUCUUCGUUUGCCCAUUCGAUAAAUUCAUUGGUUUGUCCUUCUACAAACGGUUCAAGUUUGUUUUUCAAUGUAGCGGCGAGCUUGUCUUCCCUCUCCUUUUGUAGAGCCUGCACACAAUCCCCACAUAAAAUACAUGCAGAAAAGUAACUUAACAUCAACACACAUUAAAUAGAAGGGUGAAAACAAUGUACUUUGAUCUUGUCUUGAAGCAUUUGCUUUCUGAUUUCAGGCUCAUGUGAUUCUAAGUCAGCUUCGAUUGAUGCCAAAUAAGCAAGUGCAAGCUGGCCAACAUAUUCUUCAAAGACUUCGCUUCCGAAAAGCAUACCAAAUACAGCUGCAGGAUCAACCAUUGCAUCCCUGACAACAAAAACAUAUAACCAGCUUCAACCAAUCACAAACCGAAACCGUAGAGAGAGACCAAAACAUACUGUUGGACCCCUUCUUUGCCAUAUUUGUCAUAAGCAGCUCGCUUCUCCGGAUUGCUCAGAACCUGAUAAGCCUCACCUAAAACCUUUUUCAUUCAUGAAAGCAACAAAUGAGAGACAUGAUCUGGAGAACUUUAUGAAGAUUCAAGUAAAACAAGAGACAAAGACCCUGGAAACAAACAGUAACAAUCUGAAAACACCUGAAAGUUCUUAGCAGCUUGAGGGUCUCCAGGGUUCUUGUCUGGAUGAACUUUCCUUGCCUGAAGAGCAAACAAACAAAAGGAUAUUCACAAUCAAAAUUUUACAUUAUCAAAAAAAAAAAAAAAAAAAAAAAAAGACUUUACUUUUAAGUAGUAAGCCUUUUUAAUCUCAGCAUCGGAGGCAUCAGUUUUGACGCCUAAGAUCUCGUAGUACUCAUUCUCCUUCACCAUACCUUUUUUCUAAACAAAUAUGAAACAAACACACAAAUCAAGACCAAGCUUGCAAAUUUGAUCCUAAUAUCAAUGUAUGCGGAUAUGUUUACGAUUUCUUUUCCCAUUGUUUUCUUGUGAUCAUCGAAAAGGGAGAAAUAUCGAUGUCCAGAUCUUAGAAAAAACCCAGAAUUGGGGAUUAUAAAAAAAAAAAAAAAAAAAAAAAAGACACAAAUUUUGAGUGGCGAGAUCAUGAAUCUAGACAUAAGAAGACAGACAGAGAGAAAAGGAAGAGAAACUUACUGGUGGUGAUCGUGAAGAAAUGUAAAUGGGGGCAACGAAAACUCUCGAUUCUAGUUGGCGAAAUGUGAAAGGUGUUUGGUCUUUAUAUACAAAGAAAACGACGAGUGUUUACGGUUUUGGUUUUUGAUAGAUUGAGAGAUAUUCUAAACGUGUCCGUGACGUAUACAUCUCUCUCUAUAAUUAAUACACACGUGUCCGAAAAUGUUCUGAUUCAACCGUGUUCGAGGCAAAAUAAAAAUUAAAAAUCUUAUUAAAUGUAGGACUUAUCCAUGGGUACUAAGUCAAUUUCCAAUUAAGUUCUUGCCAAAGAAAAAAAAAAAUGCAAAUUUUCUCGAUUCGAUCAUUGUUUGGGUUAGCAAACUUUCAACGCAACCCGCAUCAGAAAAUGGUAGCAGUUCGUUUUCUUCACUCAACCAACUUGUAUUAGUAUUAAUAUGCUUCUCUGAGAGUAGAAGAUGGAUGCUUAACGAUGUGUUCUUGAUAAUUAAUGACAUGAUAAACCAAUCUAUUCGUGGAACUUUCUCUGAAGAUGUAAAACGUGAAUCUUGAUUUUUACGCCUUCUUUUUAGUGUAUUCUUCCUCUGUGUGGUAAAGCCGCGCGAGAUUUCAGGGCAAUGUGAUCAAAGGACACAACCAUGGUUUGAAUGAAGCAUCUCAGCCUCGUUGCUCCACUGAUGAUAUUGGUCAUAUUUCAACAGACUAUAGAUGUCCUUCUAUAGUGAAUGGCAGGGCCGGUCCUAAGAGUAUUGAGGCCUAAAGCAUAUUAACAAAUUGUGGCCUAUUCUAUUUCUAUGACAAAUUUUUAUCGAAAAGUUAUAACUUCGUAGCUUUAUCAAAUUAUAGUAAACUAUAAUUAACACUAUUAAAAAUUUAUAUUUAAAUAAUUAGAAAAUGACUUAAUUUGUUUCAAAAUAUAUAUAUACCUAGAGGCACAUUACAUCAUUUGAAGUUAUGUAGUUUAACUUCUUGCCUAAUACAAAUUUUUACUGGUGUGUUUUUUAACUAUUAAAAAUAAUAAAAUUACUGAAAAUGGUAUAAGUAUCCAAGAAAGAAACUUGAAAACAAAAAUUCUUUUGAAAAAAAUAUUAAUGGAACUUAAAUUAUAUUUAAAAUAGACGUGGAUUAAGGAGUCACUAUACCAAUUUGACCAAAUUACCAAUACAUCAUGUGGCCCUUAAAACUACUUAAACAAAUUGUGGCCUCAAGCAUAUGCCUUACGUGCUUUAUGGAAGGGCCGGCGCUGGUGAAUGGGGAGCCAAGAAAGGAAGCUUUUAAUACGAGUACUCAUGCAAAUCUUCAAGAAGAAAACUUUCCCGAAGUUCCUCAAGACACGGUAAGUUUUUUUAGCAAAAUUUUUCUCUUAGGAUGUUAAAUGACCAUAUAAGAUUGUAAUUUUUCUCAGGUUCCUGAGAUAGCUACGAGAAAUUCUCCUAGUAACAAGACAAUGUUAGGAGAAGACAGUUUUUUUGGGAAUACUGUAGAUGAACAAUCUUGAAGAGAAAGAAAUGUGCGGAGGUCAAAGAGAGCUCAAAAGCGGAAAACAAGAAGUGAAGAACCAAAUCGAUCAUUGUAGCAAAAAACCGCCAAAGAAGAAGAAGUUCAAGCAUUCUACGUACUCCUCGACGGAAGAGAACAUGUAACUACAACUUCUUACUAAACUAUUUGUUGGAAAUAAAGCUUAGAACCAGAAUUGACAAAGAACGAAAGUCGCAGAGCCGUAGAGAAUCUACUGCACUUGAGCGAAAAACCGCCUAAUCCCGGUGUGCAAGAUAACCAAGACGGCUCACUCCAGGGUUCACUCUGCUCUCAAUUGUGUUGUGCACUCAACCCAAAAGAGAUGAAGCUCUCAAACUCAAACUCAGAAAUUUAGAAGAAGAAGAAGAAGAAAAUAGAAGAGAGAGAUGUAAUCUCCAUAAUGAAAUUGAAGACUAGACUCUCCUUUAAAUAGGCACAAGAUCGAACUUCUCAUCAAAGAUUUUAGCCAUAAAAUCCGAGAUCCAAUGACCCAUCUCUCCUCACCGUUGCAAACCAAACGGAGAGAACUGCGGCGUGGUCACGAUCUUUGACCUAUUCUUUUAAGAAGAAGAGUUUCGUCAAAAUACAAUUUCUCAAAACGUCAAAAUAAACUUGGGCAAUGAAGCCCAUUUAUUUAUUCACAAAAGCCCAAUUUAAGAAACAUACCCAACACUAUUAUGUUGUAACUGACUCUUUCUUCGUGUUGAUUUAUGUUGAUAUUUUUUUUGUUACCGUAUAAAUAUGAAGAAGGGUAUUUUGGACAUUAGUUUGAGUCAGAUGAAAGAGAAUUAAUUAAUUAAUCUUCAAUGCCAGAUCUUGCAAUAUUUUUUCGUCUGUGGUUUAAUAUUUUGUUGACCCAUAAAUUUAUUCUCUGUUGAUUUCUAUAAAAUAAAAAUGGAUAUAUUUUGUGAAAGUAAAACAAUUAAAAUAAUAAAUAUUCAACCUAGAAAAUGGGAAGGCCUAACGACCGUUGACCCUCCCUCUAAUUGCUCCGUAUUUAUUUGAUUUUCUUCUAAUCUUGUAAUCAAUCCUCCGGUAUUCGCCACGUGUUGUAUGGGCCCACGGUACGGGCAAUGAAAAAUUAUACUUUGCUCCCUUAUUUAAUGAACAAUUCACAUUUUGCUGCCUAACAUUUUCUAGUUGUCAAAAUAACCCAUGCUCAUGUAGACAAGCUCUAUACAUUUUUUCUAAAAAUCAAACCCGUUUUUGUAUUAAAAAAAUUAAAUAAAAACCACAAAAAACAACUUAUGAUUUGAUGACGGAGAACUUUAAAAAAAAGAGAAUUUAUUCCAAUUUAUCGUAGGCUUUACUCUAUGUAUCUUUUAUGAAUUAAUAUUUAUAAUAAAUAAACUUAACUCACUAAUCAUAUUGAAUUACCGAACACAUUCAUUGUUUUAUCCAAGAACUUAAGUUCUUAACCUAUGGAAUUAAUCAAAGUGGAGUAAAAUUUUCCAAAAUAAUAUUUGCAAAAUAGUUGAAAUCCAAUUUUUUUUUGGCAAUAGUUAUAAUUGAUCCAAAAUUAAGUGGGGUCAUAUUGUAAAGAAUAUUUUUGUCGUCUUUUUUUCCAAAAAAUAAGCAAUUUAAUAGUGUUGUUUGUCGUUUUGUUGGCUGAAUUCUCUUAGUUGGAUUUUUUUAAAAUUAAAUUAUUGGAAUAUGUUUUUAAAUUCUGAUUGGUUUAAUGGUCUACUAUCCAUAUCUAUUAAAACUUUUUACCUAUACCCAUUAAUGACCGUCUGAUCGUUUUUUGUUGAUGAUGGUUAGACCAACUAUCUCUUCAUUUUCUCGGUUUCUCCUUAUUUAAUUAUUUCUAGCAUGUCUAAAUAAACCCCAUCAUUAUGCUUCUUUUACAUAUUUGAACAAAAACUAGUUUAAUGACAGAAUUAACCGCAAUUUCCUUAAAACCAAAUUUUGUUUUCUAUCAAAGAUAAUAUCUCAUUUUUGACUAAAUUAAUUGUAUGAAAUAUUCAUAGUUUUCUUUUGUCAGAUCAUAUUAUCAAAAUCUAAUCAAUACAGAAUGAUUAAGCAACAUAAGCUUACCCGAAAAAAGAACACAUUAUACCAUUUUAUUUCAUCUUGAUAAAAUAAUUUGGAAAAACAAUAGUAUCAUGUUCUAGGUGUAAUUUAAUUUCCACAUUAAAAUCCUGCCACAAAAAUACUGUACCACCGUCAAUUUGGGGGGGUAAAUUGAAAGACAAAAAAGUGUGGGGCUCACAAAUAAAAACGAAUGUAACAGUUGGGGUCUCAUUAAAUAACGGUGCAAAUACAAACUUCUAUAACAAAAAUAUACUCCCAUUUUAGGUGAGAAGAAACUGAGAAAGUCCCAUUUAGUUCGGUCCGAAUUCUAAACUCCCACUUUUGUCUCUCUCAAUUUGUUUUCUUUCUCUCUCCUUAAAAAAAUUUCGUUGGCGAUUUUUCUGGGUUUCUUGUAAAUGUGAGAAGUAGAUAGAUUCUCAAGAAAAAAAGGGUUUUUUUUUUUUUUUUUUUUGUUGAUUCGUGGUUCAGCCAUCUUCUCGAAAGAUUUGGGAAAGAUCCAAGGAAUCACAAGAUUUUUUCCGAUUUUUAGUUGAAAGGAAUAUAACAUGUCAGGUCCACUUGAUCGAUUUGCAAGACCAUGUAAGAGAUCUCAUCUUCGUUAUUGUCUUAAAUCUUUAAAGUUCUUUCUCUGUAAUCUUGUUGUUUCUGGGUAAGCUUUUUUCUAGGGUUUACUGUAGCAUAAACUUCGAAAUGAAACAACUUUGAGGUCUAAUAUCAUAAUGAGAAUCGAAAAAUUGUGUCUUUUUGCUUUGUCGUGUGUUCAAUUUAUGUUCUUGAGCUGAAAACUUUGGAGCUGGUAAAGUAAUGGGAAUUUAGAUUCUUGUAUAUGGUUUCGUUGAGCUAAAUGCAUUAGUUUAUUAUAAGUUUCAUCAAAUCCAAACAGCUUUCACUACAGGUUUUGAAGGAUUCUUGAGCAGUGAUGAGAAAAAGGAAAGAAAAUCAGAUUUUGAGAAUUCUGAGGAUGAGAGGAGAACAAGAAUCGGUUCAUUGAAAAAGAAAGCCAUCAAUGCAUCCACUAAGUUCAAGCAUUCUCUUAAGAAAAAGAGCGGAAGAAGAAAAAGUGACGGUCGAGUGAGUUCUGUCUCCAUUGAGGAUGUGCGGGAUGUCGAGGAGCUACAGGCUGUUGACGCGUUUCGACAAUCGUUGUUAAUGGACGAGUUGCUUCCGGAGAGACACGAUGACUAUCACAUGAUGUUGAGGUUCUUGAAAGCGAGGAAAUUUGAUAUUGAGAAAGCUAAGCAAAUGUGGGCUGAUAUGAUUCAAUGGAGGAAGGACUUUGGUACUGACACUAUUAUUCAGGUUUGCUAUACUUUUAAACAGAAGAUAGUGUUAACCGUUGUUGUUGAUUAUGUUUUUGUAACGUUUUAUUCGUGUCGACAGGAUUUUGAUUUCGAAGAGAUUAAUGAAGUUUUGAAACAUUACCCGCAAUGUUAUCACGGUGUUGACAAAGAAGGCAGACCUAUUUACAUUGAAAGGCUAGGGAAAGUUGAUCCUAACAGACUCAUGCAAGUUACAAGCAUGGAUCGAUACGUAAGAUAUCAUGUAAAGGAGUUCGAAAGGAGCUUUAUGAUCAAGUUUCCUUCCUGCACAAUUGCUGCAAAGAGGCAUAUCGAUUCGAGUACAACUAUUCUUGAUGUUCAGGGAGUGGUAAGUAUUUUCUAUAAUUCCUGAUAUCAGUUGUGAGAUGAGUUGUUUCUCAUGUAUUUAUAUAAUUUCAUAUUCAGGGAUUGAAAAACUUUACCAAGUCUGCUCGAGAUCUUAUCACGCGAUUACAAAAGAUUGAUGGAGACAAUUAUCCUGAGGUAUUAGUUAAUUGGAGCUUCUAUUACUGUGAAUGGGACGUCAGGUAUCAAAUGCUAAUCUUGGCUUUGUGGUAUUUCAUGCAGACUCUCCACCAAAUGUUUAUUAUCAAUGCAGGGCCUGGAUUUAGGCUACUCUGGAACACUGUGAAGAGCUUUUUAGACCCAAAAACAUCUGCUAAGAUUCAUGUAUGAGAGAUCUAAGUUAUAUGGUUAUAGCUUUUUAUUUAAAAGACUUGUCUUCAAUUAUAUAGAAUUCAAUCUGAGACUAUUCUAUUGUUAUGUAGGUCCUCGGAUACAAGUAUCUGAGCAAAUUGCUUGAAGUCAUUGAUGUCAAGUAUGUGAACCUUGACCCUUGUUUGAUCUGUUCUAUCGAAAGCUGAUCGUUUUGUUUGCUUAUGUUGAAAAUGGUCUGCAUUUUUUUUACAGCGAGUUGCCUGAGUUCUUGGGAGGUGCAUGUACUUGCUCAGAUCAAGGUGGUUGCAUGCUUUCUGACAAGGGACCUUGGAAAAACCCGGAAAUUGUGAAGGUCGUUUAAUCGACUCAUCUCUUUUUGCCUAGGAUUUUAUAUAGAUCAUCAUACCAGGUUGGAAUCUGAGACAUUUGGUUUCCUUCACAUAAUUUCAGAUGGUGCUUCAUGGAGGAGCACAUCGAGCGAGACAGGUGGUGAAAGUGUUGAACAGUGAAGGGAAAGUCAUUGCUUAUGCAAAACCUUCAUAUCCAUGGGUAUGUAGUUAUUAAAUCAUAUAACUAGUCAAUCUUUACUUGUAGCUGACCAUAUUGUGCCUAAACACUGGCUGUGUCAUAAACACAGAUAAAGGGAAGUGACACUUCCACUGCAGAGUCAGGAUCUGACGCUGAAGAUAUCGGUUCUCCAAAGGCUAUAAAGAGUUUCUCUCAUCUCCGCUUGACACCUGUUCGUGAGGAGGUAAACUUUUUUUUACUUUCUAUCUUCUAGUUAUAUUUUCAAAUUCUGCAGAUGUUUAUCCUGAGACUUUGCAGGCAAAGAUAGCUGGUGAAACAAGCUUGGCUGGUAGUUAUCCGGGUUAUGAUGAGUAUGUUCCAAUGGUUGACAAAGCCGUCGAUGCAACCUGGAAGGUGAAACCCGCCAUCCAGAGAGUGGCCUCAAGAGGUUAGUUAGCUGUUAUAUGCUUUUUGUACAAGUAGGCUCCGGUUUAGAACCAAAUACUGAAGGAAAAUGAUUGAAAUUUUGUGAAAACACAUCUUAUUAGGAUUUGAUAAUAUCAUAUACAGUAUAUUGGUUCCUUGUUCACAUAGGAUUAUAUAUUCUUAUUAGGAUUUUUUUGAAGUUGUGUUAUAAAAAACAGAGCUUUUUCGGAUAUCUUUGUUCGGUGAUCUUAAUUCUAUCGAUCUGUCUCCUUCAGGAGCUUUAAUGUCUCCCACCAUUCCAAAGGAUCCUGAAGGCAUCAAGGCUCGAGUCCUAGUAAUGUUCAUGGCAUUCUUGAUGGCGGUUUUCACAUUCUUUCGCACAGUAUCUUACCGUGUGACCAAGAAACUUCCAGCGACUACUACUUCCCCACUAGUAACCCAAGGAAACGCAACAGAACUUGGUUCUAAUGGUGAAGGAGUUAAAGAGGAGUGUCGUCCUCCUUCUCCAGUACCAGACCUCACGGAAACCGAUCUCCUAAAUUGUGUGACGAAAAAACUGACAGAGCUUGAAGGUAAAAUCGGAACUCUCCAAUCAAAGCCGAAUGAGAUGCCAUACGAGAAAGAAGAACUGUUAAACGCAGCGGUUUGCAGAGUAGACGCACUUGAAGCAGAGCUCAUAGCUACUAAAAAAGCGCUUUACGAAGCCUUGAUGAGACAAGAAGAGUUACUUGCGUACAUUGAUCGUCAAGAAGAAGCUCAAUUCCAAAAGAUGAAGAAGAAGAAAAACAAGAAACAUCUCUUUUGCUUUUAAAGCAAAAAACCAUCACCAGGCAUCAAAAUCUCUCUCCCCUCUCCUACACAACACAGUUCUUAAUUAGUUUGCUGUUCUUUAAGUAUAAACAACAAACAAAACAAAAACUCUUUCAUUUGACUUGAUGUUAAAGCUAAUACAGAGAGCUCUGUUUCCUUCUUUGAGUAUGAGCCGCUUUAUAUUAUAUAUGUUUAUUUUUAUAAUCAUAUAAAAUCUGUAACGUUAAACUUGUUAAUGCAAAACAAAAAAAAAACAAAGUAUCGAAAUUAUUAAUCAAGAUUCUGUUUUUUUUUUUUAGGAUUUUGGUUUUAUCCAGAUACAAGAUAUUGUAGCCACAUAUCCAUAUAGUGAUUAUCUCUUAACGUUUCUCAAAAGUUUUUCCAUUUUUCAUUACUUCAUCUUUUGUUUUUCUAAGAUCAAUCAGUUUUUUUCUCAGUACUUUUUAUGAAGAGAAAAUGGAGAUAACAAUAUCUCAAUUGUGCUCUCGAGUUAAGUUUUCAUCAUCACUGUUGUGUUUAAAUGGAAACAGUAAGAGGAACAACCUAAAUGGAGCUGUUUCAGUAAAUUGCUUGAAAGAGAUUGAUCAGAUCAGUUAUAUUAGCUUCACUGCGAAGAAACAGAGAAGUCACGCGCCAGUGGUGAGAAAAACACGCGCCUCCUCGGAUGAGAAUCAGUCCCCAACUCCCGGAGGAGAACGGUGGCUUCUCCAACCAGUUGGUCAGAAGCUAUUUGUUUCUUUCUUUAGCUUUAAUAUCACUGAGAUUAUUUAAUCUUUUUGAGUGUUAAAGUUCUAAUCUAUAAAAACUUGCAGGCGAUGGAGACACAAGACACAUUGGUUACAAAGUGGCAAUGCCUGCUCCUUUCGAGAUCACCUCGGUAAGAAAAUAUACAUUCCAGUAGAUAGAUUUACUUUGAUGAGUUUUUUCUAAAGCUCACUAGAAUGGGUUUUGAGCAGGGACAAGUUACCAUCGGACGGCUACCGGAAAAGGCUGAUGUCGUAAUUCCUGUGGCCACCGGUAUUUCUCUGUCUUGUUUCGGUUUUUUUUUUUGAAGUUGUGAUCAAAGUGAAUUUGGUUUUAAUAUGAAUCAGUUUGAUAUAGUUUUGGUUUGAGGUUGAGUUCGAGUUAUAAUCAAAUCUAUCAUUGGUUUUAGUUAGGUUCGGAUUCGGUACUAGAUUUUCGAUUGUAGAUUGUUUGUUUAUUGCUUUAGUUUGGAUUGGAUCCGUCUUGUUAAAUCCGACACUCCUAGUCUUUUAACUGCAGUGUCGGGAGUCCAUGCGACAAUCAAUACCAAUGAAAACAACCUUCUUGUGACGGAUAUGAACAGCACCAACGGUACAUUCAUCGAAGACAAACGUUUAAUUCCUGGUGUUGCUGCUCCUGCCUUUCCCGGAACCCGAAUCACCUUUGGUACACCAGUCUUUUUGUAUGUUUUUCUAUCUCUUUGUGAAUGUGGUGGACCGAUCAAUGAGUUCAACUCUUUGUGUGACUUGCAGGAGACACAAAUCUAGCGAUUUUCCGUGUUUUCAAGCUCCAAGAUAGGGAAGAAUCCACAGAGAAACCAACCACAGAGUAACACAAAACCUGGGAAAUGGCUUCUCUUUACCGGUUUUUGCUGAAAUUCUAAGUUGGUUUGCAGCAUUGUUGAUUUAUUGGGUAAUAUUAUAUAACAAUAUAUAUAAUUUAUAACAUAUAUAUUUUUGUUUUUAGUACGUUACAAAUUAGGUGUGAAAGAAUGAUAAGUGGUAGACAUAAGCUUUCAGAUAUUUCCAGGAACAAAUAACAAAAAAUUUACAGAAAGCAAAUUUCCACAUUUUUAUCUUUAAAAACUCUUCACGAAUAUAUUUAUGUUUAUGUAUAAUAAUUAUAUAUUUCCAGGUUUCUUCAAAGUCUUGAGGCAUGCAUUAUCAUGUCUUUCAGAAUCCGAAGAACUGAAAACAAAACCAAAAUAUAUAUAAAUACGUAAAAUUAAAUCAAAUUUGAAUAAUCUUAAAAAAGAGUGAUUUAAAAGUGUUAGUUUGUUGUUACCUUCUUCUUCUUUUUCUUCUUGUCGAUAUAAGCCAUUAUCUCAUGCUGCGUAGCCAUGGUUUCCUCCAGCGUCUGAUAUUUUUUAACAAAUUAUAAUUGAUUUCAUACCCAAAACAAAAGAUUUAUAAAAGUGGUCUAAAUCUUACAACAAAUAAAAUAGUUUAAACUUUUAUAAAUUAACAAAGUAGCCUAAAUUCCCACUUCUAAACCCUAAAGUCUUAAAUCCGAAAUCUGAAAAUAUAAAUUCCAAAAACUAAACCAUGAAAUCUCUAAAAUCUUUAAUUAUAAACAUCAACUAAUGGUUUAUUUAUUAAAUUUAUAAAGAUGUAGCCUAUUUUUUUAAUUAAGAUAUUUUUCAAAAGUUUAUUUUCUAAUGAUUUCUUUAAUUAAUCUUUGUUAAAAAAAAAAGAUUUUAAAUCAUAAGAAAUAAAAUUUAAAAUAAGAAACUAGUCAUGGAAGCUCUUUAACUGGUACCUUUUUGGUCUGAGCCAACUGAAGCUCAAGCUCGUCGACACGGCUAAGAGCGGCGGUGAGAAUCUGUUCUUUCUCCGGCGAGAAGGCUGCCGGCUGAUUGUCCAAAGACCUACAUUUCUCCUCCAGCUCCGCCAUUCUCUUCACCAUCGACAUAUACUCUUGGUUUGACACCAUUGUAGUCUCUGCUUUCUCCGCUUCGCCACCGUAAAUGGCGGCAUCAGUGAGCUUCCUUGGCAUGUUUUUCGUCAGCCUCACCACGGUCAUUAACCCCAUCAUCAACGACAUCACGCCGCCGAAUAAAUAUCCUUCUCCUCCUCUCCUCUGCGAUGGCUUCACGGCAGAGUAUAAAUCUGCGCCAGCAAAAACAAAUAUAUAGGAAAUGAGUGGUAUGUAUAGUUGAAGAAUAUAGCGGAAUCACUUUUCAAAAACGUGAAAAUAUGAUAGAAUGUUUGGAAUGGUAAAAAAUAACGGAAUCAUGUUUUCAAAACGUGAAAAUAUGAUGAAUGUUUGGAAUGGUAAAAAAUAACGGAAUCAUGUUUUCAAAACGUGAAAAUAUGAUGAAUGUUUGGAAUGGUAAAAAAUAACGGAAUCAUGUUUUCAAAACGAAUAAAUGGUUUACAAAAACCCGGUUUAGUUAAGAAUCAAUGUUUCUGUUUAGUUUACCUUCAGGUUCGGGAUAGUUUGACUUGUGGAGAUUUGUAGGCCAAGUAGUAGCAUUCACAGUUUUGUCAAUCAUCGGUAUGAAUUUCGCGUUCUCUGCAUCGAAAUUGUUCUUCUGCAAAUAGGAUAUUAAAAUCAGUCAAACAGAAAAUCUAGAGAGAAAGAGAGAGCUAAAGAAGUAACCUUAGACAAAGAGAAACUCACCGCAAAGGAAUCACAUUUCUUCAAGCAAAAAAAAAAAACAUAAGAGAAUGUUAGAUAUUAUCAAAGAUCAAAUAUAUUUAUUGAGUUUUGUUUUUACCAUUGUUGUGUUCUCGUCCACUGAGAUUGUCUUCUCUUCAAUGUUUGACAAUGUCUUCCUUGGGCACUUCCCUUCUCCGUUUUGAACCAUCUAUACAUAGUUUAAGAUUCUGCAUUUCAGUUCAUUGUUUCGUUAAGAUUGUCUAUAAUCUUAUAAAGUACCUUGAAGAUGUCAGGGUCGUUCCAUGGACCUUUGUCUGAACGCAUACACCCACCUUUGUCUGCACAAGUGCAGUUACCACCCAAGAACUCAGGAAGUUCACUAAACACAAAAAAAAAAAAAAAACAGAUAGUUUUCAGAUUAUGAAUUUGUAGCUAAAAUUCAGAGUUAUGGAGAGCUCUGUUUCACUCUUACUUGGAGUCGAUAAUCUCAAGAAGCUUGCUUUGAUAUUUGUUGCCAAGAACCUGUACAUGAAGGACAUGAGAUUUCUGAUAACCGUAGACCUUAAAAGAGUGACACAAAACGUAAAAAAAGCUUACGUGGAUCUUUGCGGUGGUCUUUGGGUCAAGGAAAGAUUUCACAGUGCUCCACAGAAGCCUGAAUCCAGAACCAGCGUUGAUAAUGAACAUACGGUUCAAUGUCUAUAUAUGAUCCAUAAACACAAAACAAUUCUCAGUACUGUCUUGAGUUGAUAGUGUGAUAACAAACUACUUUAUAACCAUUAAGAAACAUCAUAGUAACCUCAGGGUAGUUGUCGCUAUCGAUCUUCUGGAUACGCUGAAGAAGAUCCCUUGCAGCCUUACUGAAGUUCUUCAACCCCUAGAAACAACACCAGAAAAAUCACUCGCUCAUUCUCUCUUUUUCUUUGAUCUGAAUAACCAAAACAAAGGUGGUAAAAGACUAGAGAGCAUACCACGCCUUGCACAUCCAAGAUGGUGGUGCUCUGAUCAAUAUGCUUCUUGGCAGCAAUGGAGCAAGCUGGUAAUUUGAUAUUGAAAGUCUUCUCAAACUCUCUCACAUGGUACUUGACAUACCUAUCGAUGGUAGUGACUUGCAUCAGCUUUGUGGCAUCCACUUGGCCUAGCCUCUCUAUGUAAACAGGCCUUCCCUCUUUGUCAACACCAUGGUAACCUUGAGGAUAGUACUUGAGGACUUCGUCUAUUUCCUUGAAAUCAAAGUCCUUUCAAAGAAGAAGAUGAGAAAAAAUCAGACUUUAAUCAAGGAGAAGCAAAAGGGAUAGAUAAAGAAGAUGAUCUUAAAAUGUUUUGCACCUCCAUGAUUGUGUCAACACCAAACUCUUUCCUCCAAUGGAUCAUAUCAGUCCACAUUUGCUUUGCUUUCUCAAGAUCAAACUUCCUUGCCCUCAAAAACCUAAGCAUCAUGUGAUGAUCAUCGUGUUUCGAAGGAAGGAGCUCGUCCAAGAUAAGAGCUUGACGGAAAGCGUCAACAGCUUGAAGCUCUUCAAGAUCAAUGUCGUCAACGAUAGAGACAGACAUGACUCGGCUGUUCCUUCGAGUUCUCUUGGUGAAAGAGUGUUUGAAUUUGUUGGAGGCAUUGAUUGCUUUCUUCUUCAAGGAACAAAGCUUUGUCUUCUUUUCAUCCUCCGAGCCAUCAUAAUCUGCAAAACAAAAACCUUAAACUUUUAGAAUCUUUGCUUAAAAGUCUCCUCCAUUGCAGAAAGCUUCCUCUCCUUACCUAGCUUAUUAUGUCGAUCCAUAUGAGUAGACAUUGUAUCCGUCAUGCUUUAUAGUCUGGAUUUAAGCUUUCUGUUGUCACAUAAAAACCGGUUAAAAUAAAUUCAUAGAAAACUGCAGAAUCCAAUCUAAUGUAAUAAGAGAUACACAUAAAAAAAAAAGGGUUCAGUUUUAGAGAGCUAUUGAAUACAGAGAGUUUCCUUGGCGAACAAUCAAUCGAUGAAACAAUAAUCAGAGACACCCGUUAAGACAUUUGAUAAAACAGGUUUUACGCAUACAUAACAAAAAAGAUUAUCUGAAACAAUCAAAGACAUCAUCUGAAAAGAAAUAAGAAUCGAACCCACAUUUUUGAACAAGAAACAGAAAUGAAAAAUCAGGGAGGUUGGAAACAAUCGGAAUAUUGAAACAUUUAGCGAUUGAGGUUGGUGGAAACUAAUGAAGAAGAAGAAAAGAUAUAAAAGAAGAUGGUUCUUGAUUUACCUAAUAAUUAAGGAUCAAAAGCUAAGGAAAGGAGAAAGAAGAGAGAAAGAGAGGUGUAUAUAAAUCUCUUUCUCUUUCUCUGAGUCUCUCUUACCCCUCAAAAUAAAGGACGGCUCCAGAUUUAGAAUGCGAAAUCUCAGAGAAACAAAUCUAAAAGAGAGAGACAUAAAGCUUAUAAGGGUAUUGAUAAAAAAAGGUUUUACCUUUGUUUUGAAAAUCCAAAGAGAGAGAGAGAGAGAGAGUUUUAGCUUAAUCCAAUAAAAGGGUUCUAAUUGGAAAAAGGUUUGACCUUUACAUUGUAACUUGUAAGAGAGAGAGAGAAAGAGAAGAAGCCAUUUUUGUAAGGAGAAGAAAGGCGCGUGUUUUGCCGUUUUUCUGGUAAGAUAUUUUUGUAAAUGGAAGAGAAAACAUUAUUAUUACUCUUCAAAUUUUUAUUUUCCUAAUGGUACCCAAAUUCGUUUUCCAUCCUAAAUAUUUUUACAAUUAUUAUGAACUAAAAGUAGCUGUCAAAAAUUAUAUGUAUGAACUACUAGUCAUUCAAUUUUUUAAAUAGCUUUUAGUAAUAGAUUUUUGAAGUUAAUACUACUACUCCCUCCGUUCCACGAAGAUGGAUUUUUUGGAAAAAAAAUUUGUCCCACAUAGAUAAAAGUUUUGUUUUUCCAAUGUAAAAUUUAAAACAGUUUACCUAUUUUACCCUUAUUAAAUAACAAUAAAUAAUAUAUUUAUUAAAAUGUGUUACAAUGUUAAAAGGUUAAAAUUUUCAUUAUACAUUAUUUCUUAAAGAAUGUGAAAUUUUUACAAAAUUUAUUUUUGUGGGACGGAAGGAGUAUUUUACUAGCUUUAAUUAUUAUGUAGUACAAAAUUAAAAAAAAAACAAUCUUAGACUAAAAUAUAGAUUUUGAUACUCCUUCCGUUUCGUUUUAGUUGUCGUUUAAGGUUUUCUCACACAAAUUAAGGAAAGCAUUAAAUUUUCUGUUUACCCUUUAUUAAUAUAUCUUAUAAAUUUUUUCAUUGGCCAAAACAUUAAAACAAUAGGGAUAAUACUGGAAUUUUUACCAAACAUUUGCAUUGAAAACCUAAAACGACAACUAUUACGAAACAAAAUUUAAGUCCUAAAACGACAACUAAAACGAAACGGAGGGAGUAUGUUUUAUGAUACAAUUUUUUUAACUACUCCCUCCGUAUCAAAAUAUAAAGCGUUUUGGAAAAACUUUUUUUGUUUCAAAAUAUAAGUCGUUCUCAAGUUUUUAUGCAAAUUAUAUAGAGAAAUUCCUAAAAAUAGCCCUAAAACAAGUUUUAUUGACAAUAAUAGCACAAACUCCAUAAACUUCCAAAAAUAGCACUAGUUAACUUACUAUUAGUGUUUUUGUUCUAAAACUUUUAUCACUAGUUUAUUUUUUCAAUAAUACCACAAUUUUAAUAUAAAAGCUAUUCAACAAAAUAAAUUAGAAAUAAAUUUAAAAUAUUAUAUUUGGGUUCUCUAUUUCCAAUUUAGGGUAUAUAUUUCCACCAUUUAAAAGAGAUUUUGAUUCAUUUUAAUAUUAGUUUAUGGUAUUAUAUUUGGGUUCCCUAUUUCCAAUUUAGGGUAUAUAUUUCCACCAUUUAAAAAAGAUUUUUAUUUUAAUAUUAGUUUGUGGUAUUAUAUUUGGGUUCCCUAUUUUCAAAUUAGGAUAUAUAUUUCCACUAUUUAAAAACAAUUUUGAUUCAAUUUAAUAUUAGAUUAGUGUUUGCUCUCUUUUUUAUUUUCUAUCUUAUAUUUUCAUUAACUUAAAUUGAAGUUUAUGGUGCUAUUUAUGAAACUUUUCAAAUGAAGUGCUAUUUUUGGAAAAAACAACUUUUUUGGGGCUAUUUGUGUCAAUCUCUCAAUUAUAUAUUACUUUUAAUAUUUUAUGAUUAUUUUUAUUAUGCAGUCUCUUUUAUGAUUUGCUGAACUUUUAAAAAGUAAAUAUUCUUAAUCAUCGUGCUUUUAGCUAAAACGUAUUAUAUUUUGAAACAUAGGGAGUAUAACUCUUUAAUGAUUAGGAAGAGAGCUGGUUUUCUUACUUUGAAAUUGUUAAUUAAAAUUUUUUAUUUCCGACAAUAUAAUUAUGAACGGCAUGGCCGAUGGCUUUUGGCUUUCCCAAAUAAAUUAAGAGAAUUGAUAAAAUUUAACAGUUAUCAUUAAUUUUUUCUUCUAGCAUGUCAAUAAGUUAGUAGUAUCAUUUAUUUCUUCCAGCGAAAUGCAAUAAACGGUAUUUAUAUUUUGAUAUAUGGACCGACCGACCAUCAUGAAUGACCCCAAGCUUCCAGCUCCCAUAUUAAUUGACUUUAUAAUAUACACAUUAAUGAUAAGAGUAGACUUUUUUUUUUUUUUUUUUUGUCAUCCGAAAUUAAUUAGAGCUCAAAAGAGCCAUUCCUGAGGAAUAUUGUUUACAAAUGUGAUAUGAAGCGGUUCUGUACGAAUUUUUCGUGCCAGAUGAUCCGCUUUUACAUUAGCAUUGCGAGAAAUUAAAGAUAAAGAGAAGGAUGAAAAUUCUUCCUUGUCGCUCUGGAAUUCCUCCAAGUACACUGAAAACGCCGGCCAUUCGGUUGGAGAAGACACCAUCUUCACCAGAUCAGAACAGUCUGUAAGGAACUCUACCUCUUGAUUAUCUGCACCAAUCAUACACUUCAUCGCCCAGAGAAGGGCCUCGAACUCGGUAUGUAAUGGAGAUAAACUUCGACGGAGAUUUGCAGCUCCCAUGGUUGGCGGCUCUCCGUUUGAUGAUGUACAGAACCAUCCUGUACCGGAGAACUUAUCACUUUCUUUCCACGAUCCAUCUACAAAGCAACGGUAUCCAGAAUAAUUCGAGUCAAGUGAAGUAUUCCCCACUCGAGAACGAUUAACCAAUUCCGCAGUACCAUGAGUUUCAUGAUGAAGCUCAAUUUGGGCUGACUGCCAUAAUUGUGCUUCUUUUUCCGCUUACCGUAAUACCUCUAACGGAUCUUUAUCAAUGUUUUCAAAUAUUUUUUCAUUCCUUGCUUUCCAUAUAUACCAUAUAAUCCAUGGAAAGGCUGAACAGUCAAAUUCCGAAGGUACUCUCCAAAAUAAAUGGUCCAAAUUUGCAAAAAUAGACUCCGUUGGAAAAAUUCCUAUUGUUGUAGGAAUCUGAGAGAGUGCCCAAACCUGUCGUGCCGGGUGGCACUGAAAGAGUGUAUGAUUGAUUGUUUCCACUAGUUCGCCACAUCUAGCACAACCAAUAUCACAUUCAAUUCCCCUUCUCCGCAAAUUUUCCGUAACUGGUACACAACCCGUUAAAAUUUGCCAUAAGAAAUGACGUAUCUUAGGUGGACAAUGCACUUGCCAAGAAUGUGCUUUUAACGGUUUGAUGUCUGGUCCAAUCAAUGAUAAUUUUGUCUCCGAAUUUCCUAACCGUGCGGUAUGAUACCCCGAUUUGACUGUAUAUUUUCCGGAUUUUGUAAAAUGCCAACCUAGUGUAUCCUCCUUAGUUGGUGCACCCACAUGUAGGGCACUUAUGAUGGCGAUAUCUUCUGGAUCAAAGAUCUCUUCUAAGAGAGCAAUAUUCCAAAAGAGUAGACUACUUAUUUAAAAAAAAAUGUGUAUUCUUUUUUUUGUUAAAUAAAGUAACAUUUUUGUAAAAUAAUACUAAAAAUUUCUCAAUUACGAAAAAAACCUCUGAAUUAAGAAAAAUUAACCUUGAUACAGUGAGUUCAACAAAUACUUUAUGUGGUUGAUCUACUAAUCAAAUUUAAAUAAUUUACCUUACGCUAUUAAUUGCAUAUAGUCACACUAUUCUUUUUUUUUUUUGUCAUCUAGAUUUAUUAUUAAUUGCAAAUUAUGAUAACUGUUACAUAAAAGAUUCCACAACUGACAAUUUAUGCCGACCCUUAAUAGAUCCACUACAGACUACACUUCAUUCUUCAUGAUCUUGAUGAAUACCUUCAAUGAUCCACGACCUGACGACACUUCUUUCUCUGCGUAGAAUCUUGGCGCACUGGUAUAAUUGUACAUCGCUGGAGAUCUAUUGCACACUUGCCUCCAUUAAUCUGCAAAUUUGAUAAUAAAUCGCAAUAUCUGGGACUCGAACCCCAGACCUCUUAGUGUAGAAACAUUAAUCAACCCUUAGUCAACCAAUGGAUCAAGGAGGGCUUCCACCAGUCACACUAUUCAAUACUACAAUUUGAUGAGGAAAAAAAAAUUCAAGGGUUAACUUACCAAAAUUUGGGCCUAAAAUGUGAGAGACUAUCUCGAUCGGCCUCAUAGUUUUUUUAAGUGUCAUUAAUCAACUUGAACUUAUUCCACUUGUGGUACUCCAUGAAAUUGCAUACUAUCAACCUAAAAAUCAUGGUAUUAUAUAUAUAUAUAUUCUUUUUUUAAAUUUAAUGUUAAAUUAUAUUCAAGAAAAAAAUAAACCGGUUUUACAACUUAAUGCAUACUGUUUUUAUAAAAAGAAUACAACGCACAUAAAACUCCUUAAUUUCGCCUUGAUGCAAACCAAUCUUGAAUGCCUCAUGCAUAAUUCAAAUCUCCUCCACUCCUAAUUGUGCUUAACCAGUUUCGAAUGUUUUUGUCAAUCAUUUGUACUAGCUUCUCACUUGGGGAUGGUUCUUUGUCAUGCCGUUUAUUAUUCCUCUCUCUCCAAAUGGAGUGAAUUGUAUUUUGGAAGAUGUAUCGCAACAUAAACGACUUUGUCUUGUCAAGAGUUUUAUCGGUGAUCAGCUUGAGUAUAUCCCUCCAAUUUGCCGUGAACUGGGAUAGGAGAAGCCCUGAUGCGAGCUCCUGCCACACAUUUUUGGAGUAAGGGCACACGAAGAACAAAUGGUCUCUUGUUUCUAUAGGAUAUUGGCAGAAAGUGCAGCUCGAAUUUGCUUGUCUGUUCCAUAGAGUUAACAAAUUUUACUUCUUACAUUUAAUUAGAUCUAGUGGGAUUUGUCAAAAAAUUGUCCAUAUUUUAACAUCAAUGUUUAUAGCUUGUAAAUCCAUUUGGACCAUUCUACACUAGUCAUUCUUUAAUCUUAAUUUAAGAAGGAAUUGACUUUGUAAGAGAUUGCAUUAUUAAUUUUAUUUUGUAAUUAUUUGUGGAGUUUUCGAGGAAGGUUUUGCAACUUUUAGGAAAAUCGUUGCUCUUUUUUUUGAAAAUUCUUAAAUUUCAGUACUUCUAAUUCAAGUUGUUUAUAAUGUAAACACAAGUUUCAAGAUUGUUUAAGAUGGACUUAGAUACAUUUUUUUUCUCCUCCUUGUCCGUUGACUGACUAUUUGAGUUUCUUCCUUCGAUUCCAGAUUUGGAUCCAUUCAAGUUUCUUUAUUGCAUAAUUCUAAUCUCUCUUAGAGUUUGCAGUUGAAUAAAAAGCUUGUAACAAGAUCGUGAUAGAUUUCAAGAACUUCCUUUUUCCAUUGAAGUUGUGUUUUUUUGUCAGUCAUUGAAUUCUUGGUUGAUUUUAAAGUUUCAGAAUAUGGCUACUGGUGAGGCAAUGUUUAUCAAUGGCCAAAGCACGGUUUCAGUUACAAGGAGGAGUUACCAAGUUGUAAUAGCGGCGACAAGAGACAUGGGUCUUGGUAUGGACAUGAAACUUCCUUGGGAUCUACCUACAGAUUCUCAGUUUUUCCACGAUGUUACAACUAGGACAACCGAUCCCACGAGGAGGAAUGCGACUAUAAUGGGAAGAAAAUCAUGGGAAUCGACUCCUCUCGAGAUUCGUCCCCUUCCUGGUCGACUUAAUAUUGUCUUGACAAAGUCUAGCUGCCACAACAUUGCCAUUGAUGAGAAUGUGUUGGUGUGUGAUAGCAUGGAAUCGGCUCUUGAACUUCUAGCCACCGAGCCUUAUUCCUUGUCCAUUGAGAAGGUCUUUGUCAUAGGAGGCGGCGAGUUGUUAAGGUUUGCAUCUUUUUUCCACAUGGUUUUUCUAAAAAGUAUAAACUUUGAGACUUUAGAUUUUUGAAGUUUGAUGUCUAGAUGUGGUUAAUUGUUGUGGUUUCUAUAUAGGAAUUAUAUGAAUGCACCCAGCUGUGAUGCUAUCCACCUAACCGAAAUCGAUAUAAGCGUGCCAUGCGACGCAUUUGCACCGAGGGUAGAUACUUCUCUGUACCAUCCGUGGUACUCAUCAUUUCCAAUUGUGGAAAAUGGAAUUCGGUAUAGCUUCAACACUUAUGUCCGAAGAAAAGAUGCCGUUGUUGGAUCCGGUGAGAAGAAAAGUGCUGCUGGAUCAGAUUUCAAGGAGUACUCGUUCUUGCCUAAGAUGGUUUUCGAGAGGCAUGAUGAGUUUGGUUACUUAAAUCUUAUUCAAAACAUUAUAUCUAGUGGAGACAUGAAUGACAACAAUACUCUUACCAAAUUUGGCUGUCAGGUUAGCUUUGCUCCAUCUUUGUUAGUAUCUUUCUCCUUUAAUUGAGCUUACAUGUUCUUAUCUCUUGAUUUGAUUCAUUACAGAUGCGGUUCAAUCUGCGCAAGACUUUCCCGCUUCUCACAACCAAGGCAUGUCUUCUUUUAUUCACAUCUCAUAUCAAGUAGUUCACCUUUAUUUGAUCAUAGAGAUUAAUUUUGUCGGUUUUUGUAUCCAUCGUCCUGCAGAAAGUAUUCUGGCUAGGCGUUGUAGAGGAAAUCCUUCAACUUAUCAGUGGUUCAAUCAAUCCCAUGGUAAAACCAAAAGAGACCUAUGUGCUAUACUACACAGUGAAUGACAAUGAUCAUGCCCAAAAUCCUUGAGUGCAAGAUUAUGUUUUCUUUGGUUAUAUAUUGAUAAAGAACCGAGAGUGUGACAUAUUAUAUCUCAUAAUGUUCUUACAGGAAAAGGGUAGUAAUAUAUGGGACAGCGAUGAAGCUAAUGAAUAUCUUAACAGGCAAGCAUAGAGUUUAGAAUUUAAAAUGUAGUUUUACUGAAACCAAACUCACAUUGAUGCUUAUGUUCCAGUUUCGGAGUGAAUGCCACAGAAGAAGAUGGAGACCACCAACACUUGUAUGGACUCCAAUGGAAACAUACUGAUGCUAGGUUUGUGGUUAUCUCGUCUUUGAAUGAUUGUUCAUAUGUUUUGCUUCUUUAACUAAUUGUUCAAAAAUUCAGUCAGCUCUCUGAUGUUAUAAACAAGAUAAAGAACAAUCCUCAUAAUCAAAGAAUCAUGCUUUCGGCGUGUAAUCCUUCAGAUUUAAAGUUGUCGGUAUCUCCUUGUCAGACGUUCGCACAGGUUAGCACGUUUACCGUCUGUUUUGUUCAAGUCGUAAAACUUGUUAUACAUUUCCAUUGUAAAUCAUUUCAACGUUUCAAGAUAUACAAAAUUGAAAAUGGUUUAGUUUUGGUUAUUGUUGGCAGUUCUAUGUGGCAAAUGGUGAACUUUCUAGUCAAAUCUACCAGAGCUCAACAGAAGCGAGUAUCGAGAUUCCUUUCAGUAUCACUACAUACUCUCUUUUGACAUGCAUCAUUGCUCAUGUUUGCGGUAUGUAUACAUUUUAUUAGAUCUUGAAUCUGGAGUAAAAGAAUGAACCAUAUGCGAGGUUUCUUGCGUUGACAGAUCUUGUUGCUGGUGAUUUCAUCUAUGUGAUUGGACAAGCCCGUAUUAAUAAAGCUCGCGUCAAGGCUAUACAAAAACAGCUUCAAAUCUCCCCCAAACCGUUCCCGGUAAGCACUAUCACAACUCGUUCAUAUAAACCUUAUUUUGCUCUCUCUCAAAUCAGGAAACUAUAUAACUUCUUCUGUCUCUCCAAUGUAUUAACGGUACAAACAGAUUUUAAAAAUCAACCCUGAGAAAAAAAAGAUGGAUAACUUUGAGGCCUCAGAUUUGGAACUCCUGGGGAUAUGACCUGCUUCACAAAGACUCUUGUUGAUUUCUUCUUUUCAUUACAUUUACUAGAUGAACAAAGUUACAGAAAACUUAUACUUCAUAAUAUAUAUAAGAUGAACAAAAUUAUACAAAGAAACAAAAAAAAAAAGAAAAGCUAAAACAAGAUUUUAUGCUCGGGCAUUGAAAUAUUUUUACCCGUAUAUAUACAAACACUCACAAAUAUAUAUAUGUGAAUGCUAUUUUGCAUAAACCAAAGUUUUUCUUUCUUUUUUUUUUCUUUGCUUUUUUUUAGUAUUUUACAUUGUAGAUGAUACAAAAUUACUCUUCAUCCUUUUGGUUCCUCCUCUGUCUCGCAAUGAAAGACUCGAUCUUGUAUCGUAGUUCCUCAUCCGAAACAAAUUCAUCAGCAGGUCUCUCUGUCUUCGAUCUCUUCAGUUUUCCACAAGUACUCUUCUUCGAGCCCUCCUGAUUCUCCGACCGACUCCUUUCGUAACUCUUCAUUGGGCUUUCCUGCUUUUGAGCAAUGAUUUGUCUGUGUCUCUUCACAGUUAUGUCCUCCUUCUCUCUCUCUUCACCACUGUUCUCAGUCUUCUUUUGUUUCUCUCUCUUUUCUUCAGUGCUCUGUUUUGCCCUGUUCUCGGACAUGCUCUGUUUUGCUCUGCUUUGUCUCUUAUCUUCGAUGCUCUGUUUUGCUCUGUUUUCUUCAAUGCUCUGUUUUGCCACACUCUCUACUUCACUCGGUUUUUCUCUGCAUAUCACAUCGGUGUGUGAACUCCGUUCUCCUCUUGAGUUCUCCCGAACAAACUCGUCGUAAAAAUCAUUGCUAUUUCUCCGUGCAUCAGUUUCUUGAUUCGCAAAGAACCCGCACUUGAAGACUAUAGCGAUGACUAUCGCAUUCCCCAAGACGAAAGCAAGGUGACGGUUGAUGAGAAGACCCGCGAGACCAGAGCUCUCGAACGUGAUAACUAGUUGGUAACAGAGCUUGGCUACUGUAACCAUAACUAGGGUUAUCUCGAUCACCCGGUAAAACAAAUCUAAGAGUAUUUGAGCCCGAGACUUCUUCACAACAACCUUCAUCUUUCUUGGUUUAGCCUUCUGAGUACUAAGCGAAUCCAUUGGCGUUUAAAACAGUAGAAUCAGAAGGAGAAAGCUUUGUAACUUGGUUUUAAACGUCUUUGAAGAUCAAACAAAUUUGUCGUCAAGAAAAAUUGAUUUUCAGUUUGUGGAGCACAAAAAAACAGAGAGAAGAGUGUGUGAGUCUGUUUUUUUCUCCUUGUUCUUGUGUUAUUUUUUAGCUUGAGAGAAGGUAACUUUGCAAUGUGAGUAUUUAUAAAGAGGGUCACUGAGUGCAUUUGCUUUCUUUUUCCACGAACCAAUUCUUUUUUUUUUUUUUUUCCUUUUUCAAUUGAAUUAAAGUUAUUAUGUUCUUAUAUUCAAGAAAAGUUAAUUGAUCUUUCACCCUUAAAUGAAUCAUAGUCUUGUGUCCUAAUAUUUACAUUUGACUACUUGAAAAAAAUGAUAUAUUUAUCAUCAAAUAUAUUGCAGAAAAAAAAUAUAUGCAAAUUUGUAACUCAAUAUCGGUGUAAAUGAUACCAUAACUUGACAUUAUGAUUAAACACAAGUUUAGUGAUUUACUUUUCCUUUAAAAUUAAAUGUCUAAACUUGUGAAAAUACAAACACUUAUAUUUUAACAAACCAAAAAAACAUAUAAAACUUGUAAAUAACAAUGCUAAAACAAUCACACCAAAUGCUGUAAUGUUUAGUGAUUUACUUUUCACAAGUUUGACAUUUAAAACUUUAAAAUAUUUUUUUUUGGACAAAUAUCUAGUUUAAAGAAGAUUAGAAGUAAGUUAUUUCGAAGAAGAAAAAUCAGAUGAUGAGAAGCUAAUGAUUUUGAACCGAAUAUUUUUGGAAAAAUAAAUGUAUAAUUAAUUAUUAUAUAAUUUUAAUAGGUAAUUCAAAAUUGUGGUUCACUCUGUUAUAGUAUGCCAAUCAAACAAGUAACAAAUUCACUUUCUUAUAAAAUACUAUUUGGUCAUAGAAAGUGUGCAGUUCCUAAAGGAUUUGUUAGUUAAAAAGCCAUGCUUCACUUGUGAAACAAUGUAAAACAAUCUAUUUUCUAUAAUUCUAAUAUUACCAUUUGUUGGUUACGGAAUAUACAUUUUUCAGUGAAAGUGAAAUUUUAUGCAAAGGCAGAAAUAUUAACUCUACAUGUAGUUGUAGUUAUAUUAGAAGCAACAAAGUGAAAUAAUUUUAACUAUGGAAACAAAAACAAAUAUACUACUUGUCAACAAUGGUUUUUUUUUGAAUAUAAUGUUAAAUUAUAUUAAAAAAAAAUAACGUUUUUACAACAAGUGCGACGAGUAGUUGAGAUUAUUUAAACAGAAAGCUGAAAAUCAACUUGGAAUGGCUAAGAAAUUAGGAUCGGCUUUGAAGCCAAGCUUGGAAGCAUGCUUCAUAUCAAGUUAAGAAUCAGAUAACAAUGAUCAGAGGAAUUAAGGAUCGCCGAUAUGAAGCUUGUCAACAAUGGUUGCAUAUAAGAAUACCACAAAUUUAUCAAAUCAUUGUAAUUAAGUUGUAAGUGACUCAAAAUUUUCUUUAUAGAUAGAUGCAAAUUCGAUAGAUACUUGCGUGUAUGUGUGGGAUAUUUUCACUAAGUUAUAAUUAAAUUAGUUAUCACAUUGUUGUUUCAUUGGUAAAAAAAUAGCUUCAUGCACUAUCUUCAUCCAUUUGUAAUUAUUUACUCGAGUCAUAAAGCAGCCCACCAUUAGUUUUGUAUGUCCAUUUAAUCUCUUAAAAUAAUGCGUGUCACCAUAUUUAAAUAAAUUUUGUUGCUAAAGUUUUUAGGACUUGAAUGAUUGGUACAAAGUAUGGCUAUGGUGCCAAAUAAAAACACUUUAGGAUAUUAAAUAUAUACUAUUAAUGAAAUUUAAAAAAUCUGUAUCAUCCUUCUUAUUUCCACCCAAAACAUGCUACUUCUCCAAUUCAUAAUUUAAAAUAUAGAAGAAACCAUUACUUCUUCACUAAGAGAUUGAGAAAUGGCCUAUACUUCCACAACUUCUCUUUGUUAAUGUGUUUCUUUAUGUCUUGUCUCUUUCUAACCAAAAGCAUGUAUAUGUGGUUUCAUUUCAAUUCUAAUUUUUGUUAUUGGAUACACUUUGAACAAAAAUUAAAGCCCCACUUCUUUUUUCAUAAAAGACAUCUUCAUAAUUGCUCAUGAGUAUAACGUGUCGUUCGAUGCUUCAAUCAACAUUAUGCAAAUAAUGAAGUGUAUAUGUCUACGUGUUCUAACUUCUUAGACAUAAAUCACACUUAUCCAUAAAAGUUAACGUCUAAUUUCAUAUUAUCAACCGAUUUAGAUCCUAAUUAUUUUGAGUUAUAGUCUUCAAAAUAUCUUGAACCUGAAAUUUUCAAUUAAUCACAUACUCAUUCGUGAAGACCGAUACGAUCACUUAAACUUGCAAUUAAUGGUUCUAUUUGUGUAAUCUCUGUUAGGUUUGUAUUUUUGUUUCUGGUAUAACAAAUUCUAUGUAAAUUAGUUUAAUAUAUACAGCUUCAAUUUAAGUAUACAUUAAUUUGUCUAAAAUAUAUUGUAAUUUUUUUCUUUAUUAAUUAUUAAAUAUAUUGUAAUUUUUUAAAUUAGGUUUUUGUUUUUUUGUUUUGUUUUUCCAGUGUGAUUAGAUAGUUUUAGACUUUUAGUAUUACUGAAAAACUAUUUUAACCAAACGAAAACUCAAUUCCAUUUUUUCUCUAGUAGCUUUAUUUUAUUUUUGUUCAACCUCUAGUAGCUUUAAUUUAUCCGGAUUACAUUUCAAAAAACAUAACUAGUAUUAAGCUAAAAGCUUUUUUGGAGCUCAGCCACAAAUGAGAAAUACAUCUCUUUUUCACAAAAAUAUCACGCCAAAAAAAAAAAACACUUUAUAAAUUAGUAAUACUACAGAUAUCGUUUUUGAGUUAUUUGAUUCAUAAUUUAAUACUAUAAUUUUUCCUUUUGUAUAGAGAAAUGAUUGGACCUCAUGAGGCACAAGAGUAAACUUUCUUUUACAUAAAAUGUAUAAGUGGGCCUUUAAAAAUCUAUGGACUGUUUUCUUCUAUCUAUGAUUUGAACUUAGGUUUAUAGAUUAUGGAGCUUUACUGCAAACAAACUAACACAUGAAUUCAGUUGAUGAAAUUCUUGUUAUAAUGUUAUUCUAAGAAGAAAAAAAUGUAUCCUUAGCCAAAAACAAAAUUUAUAUUAUUCAUUAAGAUAUUAAUUAAUGUGACCCCUUUUCUGGUGGCAAAUCUAUAAAGAACCAGAAUCUGAGUUUCGUAGUUUAUAUAUCGCUUUUGUUUAUCCACCAUAUGUAAUUAAUUCUCAAGUUGUUCAUAGAGAUUAAUUUAAAAUUUGUAUAUCUUUUUAAAUGAAUUUUAAAACAUUUAUUUCCUCCAUGGCAUGUGAGUGCAUAUUCAGUGUCACUAAACUUAUUUAUCAAGGGACUGACUACACUGUGUAAUUGCCUAUACUAUACCAAAAGUCUUUAAUAAAAAUAUAAAUAUAUAUACCAAAAACGACAAACAGUUUCACUACCACAGAAAAAAAUGAAUUUUAUCCAGAAAGCAAUUUGUCCAUGCAGAGGAAAGGAAAGUACUGCACAAUAUUAUUUUUUUUUUUUUGUGAAAAAAAAAAAUUAAAGUAAGUUAUUUGUAUAACGUGACAAGAAAAAAAAAAACUGAUUUCCAAAAAAAUCCGACCUGCCGGAAUCGAACCAGCGACCUAAAGAUUACAGCAGCUACUACAGUCUUCCGCUCUACCAACUGAGCUAAGGUCGGUUUUUAAACUCCUAAGAUAAUAAAUUUAUAUAAAGGAAAGUUGGGCCUAUAACGCUAAGAGAUCUAUUUACUCUAGACGUAAAGCCCAUUUCAUGGGGAAGUUUCAUCCAAAUAAAGUUCUACUUCUAUCCAUAUACAAGGAAGAUUCACAUAAUUACUGUGACAUACAAGAUGCAUUCAUAAGUCAUUUAUAUUAGGUUAAUAGUUUCAAUAAAAAAAAAACGAAUGAAGUAGUUAACACUACAAAAAAAAUGAGUGUAUUGUAUCAUUUAAAUUGUAUACAAAACGAAAUGAUGUUAUUUUAAACUAUUGUUUUAUAAAUAAAGCAAAUAUAUAUGGUUUAGCAUCGAUUAUAUUAUUAACUAAUGUUAUAAUUAACUAGUUUGACAUCGAAUAAAUAAAAUAUUCAAUUUCUAUUAAUUAGUUUGUAUCACUUUAAAAAAAAAAACUGAUUUAAAAUAUAGAUUUACAUCAUUUAGAUAACUGAUGUAUCUAUAAAAAAAAAUUGGUGAAAACACUUUUUAAAAUGAUACAAAAUUUACAUCAAUAAAAAAUGAUAUUUAAAUAAAUUAUAUAUAUAUAUAUAUAUAUAUUUAUUUAUUUAUUUUUUUAAAGAGGGUAACCUAAAAAAAAUCAAUAAAUAAAUUGAGAUCAUCAUCAGGCUUCUAAGCUUUAAUUAGAGCUAGGGUCUUUUUUCUCUGGGUUUUGGACGCAUAGGCAUGACCACGGUUACGGUUAUUGCGGUUACGGUUUAUUAACCACCGGUUAUGGUUAUAAAUUUUCUCUAACCGUAACCUUAACCACUAUAUAUACGGUUAAAACGGUUAAGGUUAAAUACGGUUACGGUUACAACGGUUACGGUUAAAUACGGUUACAAUAAUUUAAUUAUUACGAUACGGUUAAUAUCAAAGACAAAAGCUUGGAAUUUUAUUUACCUUUAGAAUGAAAACUUUAACGAUAAUAUAUCAAAUAAUAUUUAUUUUAUAGUAUGUAAUAUAUGUGAUUAUAUGCUUAUAAUAUUUAUAGUUAAUUAGCUAUUUUGUUUUGUUAAGUAAACCAACAAUAACUAAAUAAAUGGUCAUAAUUAUAAAGAUUGACUUAUUGUCUUAUUGUCUUAUUCCAAACAAUACUAUAGAAAGGAAGUUGUGAGAAUUAAGAAACGAGUACCUGAGUAUAAAUAAUAACUAUGUAAACUAUUUAUGAUUUGAUUUAUGAAAAAGGAGUAGUGGAGUAGUGAAGUUCAUUAAAUUUAAUAGUGGAAUAAUUAUGUAUUUAAAGUUUUAACUGCACGGUUAAUUAUUCGGUUAACCGUGUGGUUAACCGUACGGUUAACUAACGGUUUUGAUACGUUUACGGUUAAUUAACGGUUACGGUUAGUAUAUUUUUUAACCGUAACUAAUCUAUUUUUAUGGUUAACGGUUACGGUUUUUAACCGUUUUAUACGGUUACGGUCCGGUUACGGUUGAAAAACGGUCCGGUUACGGUCCGAAAUACGGUUACGGUUAGCUUUUGGUCAUGCCUAUGGACGCAAAUUGCUUCAUUCAUCAUCAAGUAAGUUUUGUGAUGAAUCAUUGAUUAUAGGAUCAGUCAUCAGCUAUUGCCACUAUUCAUCUCCUUUAUCCUAGUUUUAUUUCUCUGUAAUUUAUAACACAAUUUUAAUUUGUGUUAAACAGAUACAUGAACUUAGCAAAGGAUAUAUCCACCUCGAUAGUAAACACUCUGAUAUAUACUACAUCUUUGUUGAUACAUCAAUUUGGUUUUAGUUUAGUCUGUGUCUGGUUCUUAAUUAGAUUAUUGGUUCUCAUGGUACAUAGAUUUAUUCCUAGAUCUAAAGGUAUUGAAAUUUAAUGUAUGUUUUGUGAAUUUCUUAAGUUUACAGAUUGUACAAAUCAUUAUUUCAGGUUUUGAUGGAUAAGUCAUGGAUAAACAAACCACGUUUAUCUCAAGAUUACAUAUUAGGGGUGAAAAGUUUCUUGGAUUUUGCUUUUGGUAAAUCAAAAGCAUACAUGAUGAAAUGUCCAUGUAACCGUUGUUCUCUCGUCAAAACUAAGUCAAGAGAAGAUAUCGAAGGUGAUUUGAUGUGGUUUGGCUUUUUAAGUUCUUAUACAAAUUGGGUACUACACGGAGAGGAUGUAUGUCUAACAGGAAAUGCAAGAGUACCUUGUGAUAUUGCUUCUGAUAGUAGUAGUCUCAAUCUCUGGUCAGUUUUCUCAUGUUUAACAAUGCAACAAUGUAAUUAUUGAUGGAAUAAACUAACUAAUUUGAAAAAUGCGCAGAAGUGGAGGCUUGGGAAUGCAUGAAGUCGACGAAAAUAUUUCCGGUAGUGAAUAAUUAAACAUUUGACUGCGAUCACGAACACUACAAGAAAUAUCUACAUUAUUAGCAAUAGAGAAGAGCUAUUAUAUGUCAUUAAUAGCGUUUUCAUAAACGUUGUCUUAUGCCCCUGUUAUGGUAGACCCCCACAUACGAUAGCGUUUUUAGAAUGCUAUGGUAGACCCCUACUUACGAUAGCAUUUUUGUAUUAUAGCAUUAGUCGAAUGCUAUAAUAUAUUUUAUUAUUACACACAUUUAGUGUUGUUUUAUAUAAUGUCGUAAAAUUUUCUUUCGCUAUAUAAAUUUAAUUUGAUUUAUAAAAUAAAAUUUAUAUUGGAACCCAAUUUUGUAAAAUUUACUUAUUGGACAUAUAUAUAUAUAUAUAAUGUUUAUAUUUUAUAAAUCAUCAACAAGUAAUAUUACAUUACAAAAAACAAGUCAUACAUAACAUUGUAUUAAGUCUUAUACUAUUUUACUAAAUUAUCGCCUAGUCUUAAACAAACUAAAACUAACAUCAUAUAUUAAACGAUAUAGUCAACUUUCUCCUUGAACUUGACUCCCAUCUCUUCAACCAUUCUCUCGUAUCAACAGCUUGAUCAAAUUGUAAAACAAACAAUAUGUGAUUAAGCAUUAUUUCAAACUAAUAAUUCUAUUUGUACAGAUACGCAAACUUGAGAUAUAAGAUUUGGUAGAGGAAAGAUAAGGAACCUGAGAACUCUUUUGCAGCUCCUCCCCGAGUGACAUUUCCUUCUCAUACUCAUCAAGCUCCUUCUGCAGCUACAUAGAGAAAAACUGAUAUCAAACCAAGAACUUGUUCUCUAUGUUUCAUCUGAUAAGUUUUAAAACAUAGAACAGAUAAUAAACACAAUAUUCAUCUGAAGCAAUGGACUGUGAGUAGAGAAAAAUAAAUAGGAACAUACCGGGAAUAAGGUGAGGACAUAAGCAUCUACAGUCACUCCCAUACACAUCACAACACCAAGACUGAACAAAAGCAUACAUUAUACAUUAUAGAACAAAAGUUGAGAACUACAAUAAGCCAGAUAUAAGGAAUUAAAUCAUUACCCGAAAAAGUUGAGAAUUCAAGGAUCUGAUCUGCCAAGUUUUCAGCACAAGGGGCUGAGUCAUUAGGAAAAAUUGGAGCAGCUCCUAACUGCAAGAACUCUUCGUGAAGAUACAAGAAAAAAAGAGAAAUUAUGUGAGUAAUCACGACAAGCAAACUAUAAGGCAAGAAGCAACGAAAACAUUAACAAAUUCAGUAAAACAGAGAUUCUUCAGACUUACGGUUUAAGGUCAAAUCAGGAUAAGUAAUCAAUGGUCGCUUUUCUCUAUCUCCAAAGACAAUGACAGACACAACACCACUAGCAGUUAUAACACGAUGCUCAUGAACACAAGAAACCAACAAGUUUUAACAAAAGUAACGGAUCAUGAAACCAACAGGAAAAAACUAAACUUUUAACCAUACCAUUGUUAAAGGUCGAUCUUGAUUCUCAGAUUAUAUGGAUCUCCAUGGAAGACAUCAGGAACCACGACAUAUAAUCCAGAUCUGCAACCUUCUCAGCAAGUUUCCUAUCACAAUAAAACCAUAAAACGAAGACAAGUUACAAAAACAAUUAACCUAAGCAUUGAGCUAGAGAAAGUAACACAAAUAUGGCAAAAAAAACAAAUAAAUCUUCUCAUAAACCUUCAUAUCAAACGAGUUCCUUCUCCCUCUCUCUCUCAACCAAUUUCUCAACCCUUACCUUCUUCCUAGCCUUAGCCUCCUCCUCUUGAUCCUUAUCUCUAUUUCUCAUAUCCGGUUCACGAUCUCGUUCACGACGACCACGCUCAUGGUCUCUCUCUCGCUCUCGUUCUCUGUCUUUAUUCCUAUUGCAGUCUCGAUCUCGCCCUCUAUCUCUCUCCCUGUCACAGUCACGUUCUCGGUCCCGAACUCCGUCUCGAUCCUUGUCCAGAUUGGUGUUGUCUGCAUUGGAGGAAUCGACCGAGUUCGUGAACCAAGCUGGAGACUGAAGGAUAAUGAAGAGAUGCAAAAUGAGGCCGGCGGCGAGCUCACGGUGGAGUCGGAGUCGAUGAGAACCUAGGUUUCGAUUUGGGGGAAUUUUGUUUUUUUUUUUUGUCGUAAACAGCUAGUAAGUUUUUUUUGGCUUUGGCUAUAAACUAUAACACUUAAAAUUUUGGUUUCUGAAGUUUAUGGCGCUUAAGUGAAAUUUUCAUGUAAGUAUUGGCGGAAUAAGUGAUUUUCGCUUCUGAUUUGGUGAUUUUUUAUUUUAGCGUUGUUUUAGUGCUAUAUAUAAUAAUCAAAAAAUAAAAUUCAUCUAUCAUAACAGUUACGGAAAAUGAGCUAUCGUCAGAUGCUAUCAAUGUGGAUAUUUUUUGUAGUGGAAUGCAGUAAAUGGAGAUAUGGGACCAUGGAGAUUGCAAAUAAUAUCUAAACGGUAGCCUUUGCACUUGUUCCUUGAACUGCUGAUCAUAUACGUUAUGAUCAGGAAUCGUAACUUUUGGUUUACAAGAUUGCAUUGUGAUAAUCAAUGACAAUACAUUUGUUCUUUGUGUUGGUGAUUACAAAUAGAAAUACUUUAAACUUCUCGCUUUAGUGUGGGAAUUUUAUUAGUUAGAAAUUAGUGAAAAUUACCCAGUUUGACACAAAUUUUGAAACUAAUUGCUAGAUUAACACUCAAAAUUUGUGGCUAACUAGAAUAACACAAAUUUGGUAUAAAAUGACCAAAAGCCCAUUUCGUUUUCAUUUCAGUGUUAAAAAAAACAUAUAAAAUUAAAUUAAAAUUAAUAAAUAAAGAAAACAUUUGUCUUCUUUCUACCCUAAUCUCUCGACUUCAAUUGUUUUUUACAGCCGACGACACAAACAAAGAAAAAACAAGUCAAGACUUCUCACAUUGAACUCCACUUCUCCGUCGCAUAUCUCGCCACCGCCGAUUAGAGGAGAGUAGCCAUAAACGCCAGUGCUCCUUCUCUGGAGAAUCUGCCGUCAAUUUCAGCGUUCGGCGACGCUAGAGUCUCCGGCGGUUUUCAUUCUCCGGAGGUUCUUUAAAUUUCCGGCGUUCGGCCCUUCCACGUCGACCCGUCAUCUGCUUUGCGAGUGCUUCUUCCUCUAAUCCUCUCCUCUUGUCACUGUUUCCUUCCUUCCUCCAUUAACGACAUUAUCCUUCUCAAUUGACAAUCCGUGAGUUUAAUUUCUACUCCCAUGGUUGAAAAUUGGUUUUUGAUUUGCAAUUGAGAUUGAUUUUGAAAGUAAUCUAAUGAUUUAUUGGUUCUUUGUUUGCCAACAUCGCAUCGAGGAGAGCAGCUACAGACGUCGUUGAUUCAUCAAUUGGUUUUAUUUCUCGUCUUCGUCUUUCUUCACACAGUCUCAAUUUAGACAAUUGGUGUGUUUUCUUGUUCGAUUCUUAAAAACAAAAAAAAAACUCUCUUUCAAUUUUCAAUAAUUAAUUUUGAUUGGCACUUCUUUUGUUUGUUGCAGAUCUCAUUCGUCAAUAUAAUUUGUGGCCAAAUUCAUAGAAUUCUAAGAUUCUUCAUUAUUCAGGUACGGAUUGUGGUCUAACGCACUAUGCACAAUGAUGUCACCUUAAUCCAAUAAUGUUUUUAGUCUUUGGUCUCCUUUUACGUUUUAUAUUUCUAAAGAUAAUGCCCUUCCUUCCUUGUUUGAAUUCCUUUACGUCUUUUAAUUGUUUUGGACUUUUGCUCACAUGUUAACAACAUUCUCUUAAAUUCUGCUAUUUUGAAUCUCAAUUGUUAAUUAAAUUUUAGUUUGCUCACAUAUUAACAACAUACGCUACAGAUUAAUGUUAUAUUUGUGUGUAUUGUUUGUGGAAGCUUCUUUUGCCAUUGGAUUAGUAUGAGUUAUCACAUGUUUUCUUUUCCAUUGUUUAGAAAAUCUUCUAUUAGUUGAUUGAUUUAUUGCUCAUUUUAUUUGGUGUUUUGUUUUAUUUUUUGUCUGUUUAGCAAUGGCGUCUUCGAGUAAUGUCUCCAAAUAUGCUAUUAGUUUAUUAGCUGAAUCUAUUGAUCUUGAAAUGAAAAAUGAUCGUUAUAGCCACUUUUAUUGUGAUCCAAUAUUAGAGAUUUGGUGACAGCUUUUUGGAUUAAUUCAUUUGGUUUUAAUUUGUUUUGCAUCAGAUUUGUUUUAAACUAUAUAUUAGCUGAUUGUAUUAAUGCUCUUACAUGCUGAUUUAUUAUUUUGAUAAUCUUCAGGAAUGACGUCUUCGAGUAAUGUCUUCAAAUAUCCUCCUCGUCUAUAUGCAGAAGGAAAAUCACCUUUGCAACAUAGAAGCAUGAACCACAAUUGUUAUCUGUCCAAGAAUGGUCUCAUCAGAGAAGGAUUAGGUCUUGAUGUGUGGGAUGAAUUGGAGAAACCAUCACUAGGUGUGUUUAUUAAGCUAGCAGAACUAGAGUACACAUGGGCUGCCAAGAAAGUACAUCUUUGCAGGGUCGUCUCUGUUUCAGUAUCACGAUUACGAUUUUGUUUUUCGUGUAGGUAUAUGACAUUGUGAUUCUGUAUUGAUUUUUAUCCCGUUCAUGAUACUAAUCUCAUACGUACGGAACCAAAAUCAAUAAGGUGCAAUAGUAUAAAUCCAACGGAAGUGAACCAAUAAAUCGUCAAGCAGAAAAUGCUAGAACAAACAAAUGUAACAAGAUGAAACUUAUCAAUAUAACACAUCGUAAUAGUUCAUCACAAAGGACAUAACAAGAAAAUAAAAAAAAGAUGUCUAUGAAGGGCAUGUCUUACGAUUAUGUCCUACUUGAUUGCAUUUACCACAAGUGUAUUGUUUCUUUGGUUUUUUCUUUUCCAUCACAAUCUCCAACGCAGAUUUAAUUCAUAGAUCCAACUACCACAUACGAGAAUCAUCUGAUCCAUAUCCAAUCCAUUGCCUUUGCUGUGUGACAUUGUUUUUCUCUAAACCCAGACACGAGAACAGAAGAACCCAAAAUCGAGAGAAAAAACUCAAAAAAAUACGUAAUUUGCUUAACCCCAAUAGGAAAAAAAUGAUGAAAUCGAAAGAAACCCCAAAAGGAUAAAACCUAACAGCUCCACGUUUGAGAAAAGAAAACAAUGAAGGCCACGUUUUUUUCACAAAAACCCUAGAUGUCGACAUUUAAUGUUUUAGUGGUAAAUAUGGUAACUGCUCUAAUAAGUCUGUCAUUACAAUUAAAAAAAAAAAAAAACUGUCACCACUGUAAAUAUUAUUAUAGGAAAAAAAUCUGUCAAAAAAAAAAAAAACCUGUCAUGAAAGGGUUUCAUAAUUACAAAUCUGUCGCAACAUACAACAUUAUAAGGUCAUUCUAGCAAUUCUUUCAUUAAUUUAACAAAUCUGCCAUCAAACGACAGAUUUGUGGUAAUAUAAUUUAAUCUGUCAUAACAUAAAACAAGUCUGUCAUAACAAAAAAAGAUUAUAUUUUGAAAACAAAUCUGUUGUAACACGAUAGAUUUAUGGUAACAUUAUAAAAAUCUGUCAUAACAUAGAACAAAUCUGCUACCAUUAGAGGUCAAUCUAGUAAUUAAUUUUAAGUCAGCAAAUCUGUCACAACAUGACAGUUUUUUUUCGAAAAUAAUAAAUAUGCCGCUUCUUACAAAUUAAAUCAGCCAGACAUUACAAUAAGUCUGUCACAAAUUGUUCAAGUCUGUCACAAAUUGUUCAAGUAUGUGAUUGAAUGAAAAAAAAUCUGUCAAGGAAAACAAAUCUGCUAAAAUUUUGUAAGUCUGUCGUAACCAUAAUCUAAGAAAUCUGUCAAGUAGAUAACAGAUUUUUCUAAAAUUGCUGGAAGUUUUUAUGUAGGGUAUUUUUGUAUUAUUUUUUUUUUUUUACACAUGAGACAAAGGUAUUUUAGGUAUGAAAAUAACUCAUUUAACCCCAAAUUAUUUGUGAGUCAAUCUAGUAAUAAAACUCAAAAUUUGGGUUAAUCUAGUAACUCUCCCUAGAUAUUAUGUUAGGAAAAAUCUUUAUAUUUGCAACAUUAAAUUAAUAUCUAGAUAUUAUAGUAUGAUAGAGCUUAAGAUAAAGAACAUAUAUCUAGAUACUUUUAUAGUUUGGGAGCAAAUAUCUUUUCAUCUACUCAUUUGCAAUUAGAUAGAAAAAAAGUAGAAAAUAUAGAAAAAGUGAAUCAAAGCAGAUUGAUAAUUAAAAGAAUAUUCUAUAUUCGUAAGUUCUCUCAAUUAUGUUCUAAAUUUUCCAACGUUUCUCACAUUUUCUUCAUAACCAAUCCAAUGCAUUUGGGAAUUGUGUAACUCACCAUAAUUUAAUUGGGCUUAAUGAAUAUUGUGGGUUUAUAAACAUUAAUGGGCUUGUUGAAUAAAAAACAUUAAUGGGCUUUCUAGGAGAAAUGGAGCCUCUUAACGCUGAGAGACUCGUAAACCCUAAUAUAUAAACAACGAAACCAAUUCAUUCUCACUGUCGUCUCCUCUUGAGCAUCGUCUUCCUCUUAAGCAGCUUCCCUACUCGCCGAUCGUUGCUCCGUUGAAAUCACCAUGGUUACUCUCUCUCACUCUCGAUCCGUCUAUCUCUAUCGCUUUGUUUCUCUUCUCGAGAUUAUCUAAUUUUUGAAAUGUUGUUUGUUUUCAGGCGCCAAAGAAGGAUAAGGUUCCACCGCCGUCAUCGAAGCCGGCGAAAUCCGGAGGUGGAAAACAGAAGAAGAAGGUCCGUUUCCUCCAUUUUAAGCUACUUUUAAUGUCGAUUUUGAAGCAACAAAAUGCUUCAACUCUCUGUUUAUGUCUAGAGUUUUGAGAAAUUGAUUUAGGUUUCGUAGAUUGAUUUAGGUUUAAUAUGAAUUUGGCUGAAGAUUUAGGUUUCUAUUUGCUCUGAUAUGAUACAAAGUCUCUCGAGAGAGUAUUGAUUUGAGUUAGCUUUGGUUAUGUGUAUACAUUUGUCUUGCUUUGUGUGAUAUGUUGCAUUCUUCAUGCUUUUGGUGCUUAAUUGUUUUCUUGUUUCGAUGAAUUGUUUGUUAAACAAAACAGAAGUGGAGCAAGGGAAAGCAAAAGGAGAAGGUUAACAACAUGGUUUUGUUUGAUCAAGGCACUUAUGACAAGCUUCUCACUGAAGCUCCCAAGUUCAAGCUUAUCACUCCGUCGAUACUCUCCGACCGUAUGAGGGUAUAUACAAUCUUUAUAUCACUAUUGCAUUCUUAGAAACUGCAUGGUUUGUGUUAGUUUGAUGUUGUUAGUCUCUGACAUUGUUAUGGUUUGAAUUGUGGAAAAUCAGAUUAAUGGGUCUCUUGCGAGGAGAGCCAUAAGGGAGCUAAUGGCGAAGGGUUUGAUCAGGAUGGUCUCUGCUCACUCGAGCCAGCAGAUCUACACUCGUGCCACCAACACCUAAAAAGCUUGACUUUUUCAAUGGUUUGGUUCUCGACUCUCAUCUUGGUUUUUGUCUUUUGUUGUAUACAUUAAUCAUCAGAACUCUUAUAGUUCUUUUUUGGUUCUCGUUACUCCUUUGUACUCCAGAACCUCUUUAGAAUGUUGUUUUGAGAUAUUAUGUCAAUUUAAAUCGGAGUUGGUUUCUAUUUUUUCCUUUUCAAAAGUCUAUCUAAAUUCCUGAGUUGAAUUAUUCCAAGCCAAUCAAUAAAAUACAAGCAAGGAAAGGAAUCAAGGCAAGCCAGGCAAGCAGAACAAACCUAUAUAUGAAUAACAAGGUGAAAGAGCUCAGUCUCGUGGUUAACAGUCACCCAUCUAUUCCUAGUUAGGGAUCAAAAAGGGACAUAGAGUAUCAAUUUAUAUCUGAAUCAGUAUUGAUUCGUUCAUUAUUAUUGAUAUAAAGUAGAUUUAGAAGAACUAAUUUGCUAUCAUCAUACUAUCUUUACUCUUUAUCGUAUUAGUCACAUUUGUAACAUCAUCAGUAUCAUCAACAUUUCAUUAUACCAUCGUCAAUAUACACAGAGAACAAGACUUUAUGGGUUCUAUUGGGUUUACAAUAUUAUUUUCAUUGAUCCUUUAAUCUUGUAAGAUUAGCAUAUCCAAUCCCUCAAACUACUUGAGAUAUUGUUUGAUAAAUGAGUUGGUUCGUUAAAUGAAUUUUGUUUGUUGGAAAGAAAAGAUAUUUUAAGUUGCGUUUGAGUCCAUACAAAUGGUUUCUACGACAAUUUUGCGGCCGUAAAAUUAGUUUUUUUUUUUUUUUGUUUUUUUUGAUCAAAAGCCAUAAAAUUUGUUUAACUCCAAUAAAAAACAAGGAAUUCCAAUAUAACUGAGCAUCAAUCAAACUUCACUACUUUUGAGUCAUACUAAUGGUUACAAAAAACGUCACUUUCUCACACAUGACAUUACACAUGAUAGGUGUUUUAGAUAUUUGUUCUUGUACCUUUCUAUAGACAACCCUGACCGUCGAAAAUCAUCACUUUGUAACUUAUUUGUUCUUGUAUAUAAAUUAAGUAAAAAAGGUAGUGAUAAACCCAUGUAAUCUAAUGGUUGUAAUGGUUUUCUUUGUUUAUUGUUUUUUCCCACUCAUCUAUUAUUUCAAACGUGGAAAUUAUAAAACCUCCUGUUAAAAAUAUUUUGAUUAUAUUAUAUAAAUAAAAAUAAUCAGUUCUCUAAAUGUUUUAUAUUACUUUUAAAAAGUAAAAAUGUUUUUGAAUUAAUAGAAAGAAAAACAUUUGGUUUAUUCAUAUUUAAAUAAAACACAACAGAACGUCUGUUAGAUGAAUAUGUAUGGACCAAGGGAUUCAACGUGUCUAUGUUGCAGUAGAGAAAGAGUAUGGGAGAAACCAGAGCCGUCCGUUUAUUGUAACAGUCACAUGACUCACAUCACAUCAUUAUGAUCUUCUCAAUAUUUUUUCUUCUGAAAUCUUUUUUUUUCAAAUUUAUAAAGUAUUUAAAAGAGUGUAAAACAAAUGAAAAUAUAAAAUUUUCUUUUGUCUUUUUGCUUAUAAUUUUUAUCAAUUAUGUUUUUCUCUUCUUGCACGUUUGAUUUAUUAACAUAUAUAUAUUUUUUUAUAAACUCUCUCUAUUUCACAAAAAAUAUCGUUUUGAAAUUUUAUUUUUUCAUAAGAACGUUGUCCUACAUUUCCAAUAAUUUUUUAACUAAUUCCUAAUUUACCUUUAACCCAAAAUUACUUUUCUUUUGAAUUUAAUUCAUUAUGUUUUAUUCAGUCACUUAUUAAAUAUAUUAUAUAUAAAAUUUUCUAUAUUAUUAUAUGCAAUUUUUUUACCAAACUAGUCAGAAUUUACUAAUGUGAAUGAAAGAUUUAGGGGUGGGCAUUCGGGUAUGCGGGUUGGGUUCGGGUAAAACCCGAUCGGGUACGGGUCUUUCGGGUAGAGGAGUUUAGGACCCAAUAGGAUAAAUCUAAAAUAUCGGUUCGGUUUCGGUUCGGGUCUAAUCGGGUUCGGGUCGGUUCGGGUUUAGAUUUUUAGAACCGCUAAAUACCCGAAAAAAUCGGGCACCCAUCGGGUUCGGGUAUUUUAUACCCAAAUACCCAAAAUUUUACCAAAUACCCGAAUUUUACCCGAAAUUUUACUCUAAUAUCCGACUUUUAUCCGCAAUUUUACUCAAAUAUCCAAGUUUCACCCAAAAAUUUAUCCGAAUAACCGGAAUUUUGUCCAAAUAUUUAAAAAAUUUACAAGCAUCUCGCGUAUAAAUAUAUUUAGUCUUAAAUAUAUAAAUAUAAGUGCAUUUAAUUUUUGGUAAUUACUCUCGGAUAUUUGGAUAUAAAUGUAUUUAGCUCAAAUAUUACAUAUAUAUAAAGUUUUUAUAUGUAUAAGUAUAAGUAAUUUCGGGUAAUCGGGUACCCGUUCGGGUAUCGGGUUCGGAUCGGGUUUUACCCUAUACCCACGGGUACGACAAUACAAGACCCAAUAGGGUAAAUAGCUAAUACCCGUACCCGCCCCGAACCGGUUUUUUCGGGUCGGUUUCGGUUCGGGUACUCGGGUACGGUUUUUUUGCCCAGGCCUAGAAAGAUUCGAUAUAUAGAAGUAACUGAGAUCAGUUCUACACAAUUGAAAUUGUCUCAAGAGAGGAGAUUACAAACACAGACACAAACAGAAACACAAUUUUAAAAAUAAAUUGGCCAAAGAGAGAAAAUAAGUAUACUUUCUCGUGGAGGGAUCACAGGACCAAAAACCAGAAAAAGUAACAGCUUCCACCGUCAACCACGCACUGUUUCAGUCUUCUUCUCCUUCCAUUUCAAACGAACAACAAACAUUUUAAUCAAAAUCAUUAAAAAGUGUUAAACUUUCUGGUAAGUUAUUAAUACUCUCUGCUAAUGAUGCUGUUUAUGGUCGUAAUGGUUUUCUAGCUAUCUGGGUGUUUAAAUUUCGAAUACAAAUUCCUAGAUCUUCUUCUUCUAUCUGGAUCGUUGUUUUUAGCUUCUGAACAUGAAAAAGUUUCUGUCUUUUGAGGUUUCUCGAUUUUGCUUUCUUUGGGUUUAGUAGUUUUUAACCAAUGUGCACUAAGAAAAUAAUUCAUUUUUAUGAUGUUUUCUUUGGUUUGAUGAUGAAAAAUUGAAACUUUAUUCUACUUCUUAGUAUCUAUCUUCCGGCUUAUUUAAAGUUAAUGAUCCUUCAAGCCUAAUGGAGAUUGGUACUACUCAUAAAACCAUUAGUAAGUUUGAAACUUCCAAGAGUUUUUGUGUUUUGAGACGAUGAGAUUUUUGAGAGUUUCAGGGAUCUAUGUUUGUGAAUCAUCUGGGUUUCUGGAAAGUUUGUAGCUUUCGAGGAUUUAUCUAUUGGGUACUCUCAAGAAAUGUUUUUCAGGAUUUCUCUGGUCGGUUUCACUUUAACACUUUGCUUAGAUUUGAACAAUGGGUUUGGAUUAUUCUAUUACUAUUUUCAUUAUAUUAUUAAGUAGAUAGAAACUGUAACGCUUUGUGUAUUAUUCACUUUACUUGAAGCUUUUAUUAUUCUUCUGCGCUAAUUCGUAUCUGCUAUUAACUUUCCGAGGUUUCUGUUGUUUAUUUUUGGGUUUUUGCAGCUAAAAAGAUGGAUUCUUCUUACUACUUUGCCUUGGGGACAAGUAGUUCUAUUCUGCCAAAACUCUGUUUCAAGAAUGUGGAGAUCAGAUUUUGGGGUGAGAAGAUCAACAACAAUGGUUUCUUUAAACGUUCUAAAUCAGAUUUGGACUCCAAGAAUCGAAAGUUCAAGCGCAGUGUUGUUUACGCUGUUGCCACUUCGAAUAAUCCAAAAAAGGCUAUGGUACGUUGAUCAGUUUACUCUUUUCUCUCUUGCUUAAAUGGCAUUAGGCUUGCUUUGUGUCGCUCAGAUUCAGCGGUACCUUCGAUAACUUUCUUAAGACUUGCCUCAAGAAGACUGCUUAAUCGGAAAAGUCCAGAGUUCUUGAUUCUGUUUGCUUUGUUUUUUCAGACUGUAAAGCCUUCCAUGUUUGAGAGAAGAAAGGCAGACCCGCAAAACGUGGCUGCAAUCAUUCUAGGAGGAGGUAAUGGAGCUAAACUCUUCCCUCUUACAAUGAGAGCCGCAACACCAGCUGUAAGUAUUCAUCUUUCUUUGUUUCCUCUUUCUGAAAAACCAAAACUGUAAAUAACAUUCAUGGAGAUUUAGGACCUCAAGGGUCUUAUCUAUAAAACAAUGUUUUUGUGUAAUGAGGAUUCUUGUGUCUUCAAAUUAUGUUAGGUUCCUGUUGGUGGAUGCUACAGGCUGAUCGAUAUUCCGAUGAGUAACUGCAUUAACAGCUGCAUCAACAAGAUCUUUGUGCUGACACAAUUCAACUCUGCUUCCCUCAACCGACAUUUAGCACGCACUUAUUUUGGGAAUGGCAUAAACUUCGGAGGUGGUUUCGUAGAGGUAUAAACACUAUGACAGUUUAAACAUUCAGCUUUCUUGAAUUUUCGAGGAACAAAGCAAAAGUAAAAUCUUAUUGAAUAGGUUCUUGCUGCAACACAAACACCGGGGGAAGCUGGGAAAAUGUGGUUUCAAGGAACAGCAGAUGCUGUCAGAAAAUUCCUCUGGGUGUUUGAGGUAUGAACUUAUGAUCACUUUUUUACUGGUUUAUUAUGUCAGUUCCUUUGUGAUCUUUGAAGUAGUCUAAAAGCUGUUGAUGUCUUAAAAACUAGGAUGCCAAGAACAGGAACAUUGAGAACAUACUUAUUUUGUCUGGAGAUCAUCUCUAUAGAAUGAACUACAUGGACUUUGUUCAGGUAAUAUAUCUAAAUCUAAACAGAUCUGUUCUUCAUCAUCUUAAACCUCUUUAAAGUUGCACUAACUCAGUGUGUUGUAAUAGUCUCAUGUCGAUAGUAAUGCGGAUAUUACUCUUUCAUGUGCACCAGUCAGUGAAAGGUUAGUAUCUUGAAUCUCGUUACGUCUUUUCUAUGAGAAAUCUCCGUUCUUGAAACCAUUUUUUUUUGUGAAUUCUUUAGCCGCGCAUCGAAUUUUGGUCUAGUGAAGAUUGAUAGAGGUGGGCGUGUAAUCCAUUUCUCCGAGAAACCAACGGGAGUCGAUCUGAAAUCAAUGGUAUAGUUUUCUAUGAUUCUUAAAACAAAUCAACUUCUUAAAGUCAUAAAGCAUUUCAAAAACUUGAAACUUUUCUCUUUGGUUUUUACAGCAAACAGACACAACAAUGCUUGGACUGUCUCAUCAAGAAGCAACAGAUUCUCCAUACAUUGCAUCUAUGGGAGUUUAUUGUUUCAAAACCGAAGCUUUGCUGAACCUUCUAACAAGACAGUAUCCGAGUUCCAAUGACUUUGGAUCUGAAGUUAUUCCUGCAGCCAUAAGAGAUCACGAUGUUCAAGUAAGAUUUUAGAAAACUCGUGUCUUGUUUUUCUUUAUCCGUUGUACACAACGAAUGAUCUAACAGUUUUGUAUUGUUUUUUGUCAGGGAUACAUAUUCCGAGAUUACUGGGAGGAUAUUGGAACUAUAAAGACAUUUUAUGAGGCUAAUUUAGCUCUUGUUGAGGAGGUAAGAAGCAUUACUCCAGUCUUUCACCUUAUUAUGACGUUCUUGGAUACAUUUUUCUCAACUUUUUUGUUUCUUGAUCUUGUUCUCCAGCGACCAAAGUUUGAAUUCUAUGAUCCAGACACUCCGUUCUACACUUCUCCUCGGUUCCUCCCACCAACCAAAGCUGAGAAAUGUCGCGUAUGUGUCAAAACAUCUUUUUCUUUAUGGUUGUUUCUUUGAUUCCAGUUGCUAAUUAUUUAGUAUGGUUCUGUUUUGAUGAUUUUGUAGAUGGUAGAUUCGAUAAUCUCACACGGAUGUUUCCUGCGAGAAUGCAGCAUCCAACGUUCCAUCAUUGGUGAACGGUCACGUCUAGACUAUGGAGUUGAGCUUCAGGUGAAUCUUCAAUCUCUUCACUUUGAUCUAAAACAAUCGAAAUUAUUUUAACUUUGUUGCGAUCAAAUUGAGCUUGGUUUUCUUUCUUUUCAAAGGAUACAUUGAUGUUAGGUGCAGAUUACUACCAAACUGAAUCUGAAAUUGCAUCUCUAUUAGCAGAAGGAAAGGUUCCAAUUGGCAUUGGUAGAGACACAAAGGUCAGGUAAGUUUUGAGAAAACACAUAACAUACAAACAAAACCCUCUUCAAAUGGAUUUGUCUGAAACAACAAGAGUGUUUUUUCUUCCUGGUGAGUUUAUAGGAAAUGCAUCAUUGACAAGAAUGCCAAGAUCGGUAAAAACGUGAUCAUCAUGAACAAAGGCGUAAGCUUUUCGUGAAUUUCUUCUCCCUCAGAUUUUCAACUGUUGAAGAAAGAUCAAAUCUUAAAGACCUUAUGUCUCCAUGUUUUCAGGAUGUACAAGAAGCAGAUAGGCCAGAGGAAGGAUUCUACAUUCGAUUGGGAAUCACUGUGAUAGUCGAAAAGGCGACAAUUCAAGACGGUACUGUAAUAUGAAUGGAGCUUGAAAGCUGCAAUCUUGUAAGUCCACCUAGCAACAAUCUUGCUGGAGAUUAAAAAGAGAAAGCUUCCAUCAUUGUACAAUUAGAAGAGCUCAAGUUUAGUAUAACUAGAGAUAGAGAUAUAGAGAACAAAUAAGAACACAGUGAAGUCUUGAUCAGUGCUCCGGCGACGGAAGACUGAUCGGCCGAUCUCUCCCUCUCUUAUCAUCUUUUGUAUUUAGAACCUUUGAUGAUUCUCUUUGUAUUAUUCAAAAAAAUAAGCAAUUUAUCUCCUGUCUUUGUGUCACCACCAUCCACAUUCAAACUACAUACCACAAAUAAUAAUCAAACUUUUGUUAAAAUUUAAAAUACUAAAAUAUCAUCAUAAUAUACUAAUAAUUUCUAAAAUCAUUGAGUGAAUAACAACAGAUUUUGACACCAAUUAUAAAUUGGUAAAUCCAACAUAAUAAUGAUGAUUUUGAUUGAGUUUUUUAGUUAAUCAAAUGUGAGAUUAUGGGUUAAAAGUGUGAAAAAAUAAUAUUAAGGGGUGAAUGUGAAAAUAAAAUAAAAUGUGGGCUUACAUCGAACAAAACAUUUAAUUGGUGGCUCAUGCGUAGUUUAUUUAUUAUAUAAGAAUACCCACAAGGAAAUUUCAUUUAAUUAAUUUCAAAAAAAAAAAAAAACGGAGUCUUGUGAAAUUGAGCGUCGUCGUCGUCCUUAGCCUUAGCCAGAUCUGCAUCUUUUUCGCUGGCGUCGUCGAGAUCUCUGUCGUAUUGAAGAAGCUAUUCAAUCUUUCUUCACCAUCCGUAAGUCCUUUUCAGAAGCUUCUCUAAUGCUUGAUCUUCCAUUUUUCUUCUUCCGAUUGAUUCUCUCCUCGCACUCCUUCUCGUUGUUUUAAUGCUGCUUUCGACGAAUUUGGUGAUUUAUUGGGAACGAUUCAGUUCCGAUUCCAGAUCUGACUCUUGCGAUAUGUUGAAAUCCGAAAGAGAUAGAGAAGAAUUUCAUUAUCCGUUUGUUGUGUUUAGGGUUUUGGGAUUAACUAGUGAGAUUGUUUAGCUAAGAGAUGAUUAAUGGCGUUCUCUUGAUUGUUUUUUUGCUUAACAAGUUGAGAAAUCGAAGCUAGGGUUAUUUGUUCUGUACUUAAUAGGUAAGAUCUCUGAGUAGAUCUUCAUUUUCGUGCUCAUUUCUAGGUUGCAAGAAUCACAAUGGAUGGAAGUGGUGGUGACAGUGGUUCGAUGGCUACACCUGUACAAAAGAAGGUACAUGAGGCAUGGAGGGUUUACCAAUAUUAUCUGGACAAGACUACUCCUCAUUCAACUAACAGGUGGAUCGGAACACUUGUCGUCUUUCUUAUCUACUGUUUGAGGGUUUACUCCAUUCAGGGAUUCUAUAUCAUCUCCUAUGGUCUUGGAAUCUACCUCCUGAAUCUGCUUAUCGGGUUCUUGUCCCCUCUUGUUGAUCCUGAGCUCGAAGUCACUGAUGGAGCUACUCUCCCUACUCGAGGUUCUGAUGAGUUCAAGCCAUUUAUCCGUCGACUGCCAGAGUUUAAAUUCUGGUACCCUUUUGCCUGUCUCCUUACAACUUAUCAGUGUUCAAGAAAGCGCUAGGCGCUAAGCGGGCGGUGACCCAAUGCCUAGCGCCUAGAACGCCUAAUCGAAGCCUAGGCGAUUUUUUAGGCGGUUUAGACGUUUAUAACAUAAAACAUAAUAAAUAUAAUAUCAUAUAUAAAAUUUAUAUAAAAUAUCUAAUAAAACAAAAAAUUAUGAAAUUAUAAACAAAAACUAGAUAAAACAUUUAAUUGAUUUUAUAUAUUAAACAAUAUAUGAAUAUUUAUAACUAUAUAUAUAUAUAUAUAAAUAAAACUCUAAUUGAAAUUGAAAAAAUACAUUAAACAAGAUCUAUGUAAUUUUAGACGGUCAAGGCGGUUAUCUAGGCGUCGCAUGAGAGCCUAGCGCCUAGUCGGGGCCUAGGCGACCGCCUAGACCGCUUUUUAGAACACUGCAACUUAUGCUUUCAAUUAUGUUGUUGGAUUAUCGUCAUUGCAUAUCAUGUUCUUUGUGAUAAGUCAUAUUUAAAAUUCUAUUAGCAUUCAGGUGGUUUACCAUAUACCAUCUUUUUAACCAAGUGUGCUGGUAAUGCUUGUGUUGCAGCGCCAUAUUCAAUUUUGUUUUCUGUUCCUUAUAUGCUCAUCGGGAUUGAAUGACAUAAUGUAUAAACACUAUGCUCUUAGUUAUAUAUAAUUGCUCAGUUUUUUUUGUCCUAAUAUCUUCCUGAAUGAUACAUCCAGGAAGAAACACUUGGUCAUUGUCAUAACUCUACACAUAAGAACACGGUAGCUUCUUUUCUUUUCAGUGACAAUUGGAUUGAAUCUCUGACAGGUACUCCAUGACUAAGGCAUUCUGCAUAGCAUUUCUCAUGACAUUCUUCUCGGUCUUUGACGUUCCUGUCUUCUGGCCUAUAUUGCUUUGCUACUGGGUUGUUCUCUUUGUCCUCACCAUGAGACGCCAAAUCGCCCACAUGAUCAAGCACAAGUACAUUCCUUUCAGCAUCGGAAAACAGGUAAUCUGUUCUUACAACUUUGAUCUUUUAGUUUUAUCUUGUAUACAAAAACCCCAUGUCUAGUCAUCUUAAUUUACUCUUCUAUGAGUCAAUAAAAUCCUGCCCACUUCUCUACAAAGUCAACAUUCAUAUUACAAUACAGGGUUUGAGUUUAGAGUUACUAAUAUAUCUGAAAUUUUGAUAUGUGUGGCAGAAAUAUAGUGGCCGGAGAUCUUCUGCGAGCAGCAGCGGCGGCUCUCGUGCUGAUUGAUUUCGAUUGUCAGCCACAUUUUCUGCAGAAGAAAGAAAAAGGAUAGGUUUUAAACCACUUUGGAAUGUUUUGUAGUGAUGGUUUUAAUCAAAUUGCUAGAAUUGUUAUGCAGCUACAAGGAAGAAGAAGGGAAAAAAAAAAAUGGUGAUUAGUUUAAAUUUGUUUCUUCUAUGUUGCAGAAAAAUUGUUCUUUGUUCGUUCCCUUUUAAACCCAAGUACCCUCUUCUGUAAAUAUGAUUUAUUUUUAUUUUACAACACAUUCAUUCUUUUUUUCUUUUAUGUUUGCUUUUAAAUACCUUUCAUUUGUAUCAUCAAUUUGAUCAUUUCUUGAAUUUAAUUAUUCAAGCAAAAAGAUUCAACGAGUUCUACGAAUCGUAUGAAUUUUGGUGUUGUUCAUACGAAAUUAUCAAUCACGUGAUGGUCUCUCGAGAAGUCGACAAAACUCUUUGUUAGAACAAAAAGAACUGUUUGAUGAACAAUAACUAUUUUUUUUUUUUUUUGGCACACGAACAAUAACUAUUCUUAACAGAUCCUUUUUCAUGAGGCGGAAUGAAAAAUUUGGUGGUCAUGGAAGUUUUCUUACAAAAUGUAUAUAAUACACUUGGACUCUAGCUCUUUCGAGUUGCGGCAAUAUCGCAAGAUUCCAAACUUUGCGGUUCGGAAUUGAUGUUUCUUCUUCGAGCAAUAUCGCAAGAUUCCAAAUUUUGCAGUUUUUCUUUGUCGUGUUUUCUCUUGUAUUCGUGGAUACUUAGUUUUAGUUUUUGGUUUCUAUGUCUCUUUUGUUAUCUUUGUAUUCGCGGUCGAAAAAUUGAAAAUUGUAUAAAAUACUUGAUACCAAAAAAAAGGUGUAUUAUAUACGUGUUUUGUUAAUUAUAUACAUUACAUCAAUAAAAAUAUUACACACAAUUAAUUACAAGCGAUAUGUCUAAAGGAUUUAAAUAAGAACAAAAAAAGAAGAAAAAAUAUUAAUUAAUGGAAUUAUUAAUUUAUUUAUAUAUUUUCGGGUUUAUUUGGGACCAUUUUUUGAAGUGGGAAGGGGCAGGUCGGAGCCAGUCUUUGCCGCCGAUAAAGUCCUUGCUCAAGAAGACGGUAGCUUCGUCGUCGGAUAAUUGUUUUGACCAUUUUACUCUUUGUCCCCUGUCUGCUCCGGGACCGUAACAUUUGUAUUCACCAUAAUAUACGGUACUGAACAAUUAUUAAAAGAAAAAAUUAGUGUACAUUAGUCAAAAAUAUUUAUAAGAAUUAAACCACAAACCAAAAGGUAAAAUGUUAGUACUUUUCUUUGGUUGAAUCUCCCCAUUGGUUCCACCCUCGAGGUGCGACGACAUUGGAGAAGAAGGAAUAAGCAAAGAUAACCCUAGAAUAAGGUCCCCAUGGCCUUCCCAAAUACGUGGAACUGGAUCCGGUUAACUUGCAUCCCAAGAAUAUAAACCCUGAUUUCUCCGUCGCCGACGUUCUCAUUUGCGCCGUUAUAGACCCUUUAGUCGGUGACAACGAGUGUAGAUGACAUCUCUACAAGUGAAACCAGGAACAAAGAAAAUUAAGGUUUAUGUUUAAAGAUGAGAAAGUUAACUCUUAUCUAUAAAUGGAACAUGUUAAUUUUUUCCUCUAAGAGCAUGCAUCCCAAAAAUAAUGGAAUUAACAACAACUCUAAUCAAUCGGAUCCUUAAUCUUUUGAAAAUUAGAAUAAAGUGAAAUGUAAUCAUUAUUAUGUUAAGAUUAUUACUUUUAAUGGAACUAAUUAUGUAAAAUGAGUUAGUAUUUACUUCAUAGAGAGAAGAAGCGCUUCCACAAAUGAAAUCGGUGGCUCCUUCAAUAUAGCAGUUCUUGAAGUAAUGGUUUCCAUUGUCGUCAAGGAGAGUGUCUUGGUACGAUGUUAUCACGCAUCCAUAGAACGCUGCCUUAUCCGCUGCCACCCGCAGUGCAACCGCCCGUCCCGCCGUUCCAAGCUUAUUCUACUUACAACAAAACAAAACACGCCACAAGUAAUGAUAUUUUCGUAUUCUACAUUGGAAUUGAAUUUUAAAACAUGCAUAUAUACGAUGUAUAUAUGAGACGAAGAUUAACCUGAAUAGUGAGAAAUCGACAUACGAAAUCGGUGGCAAAUAUUGUGAGAGUGGGUGAUUCCAAAAUGUCUCCACCAUCGCUCCAUAUGAGAAAGGUGUUGGAAGCUUGUGUUCCACUCAAUGUUAUGUAGGGUUUAUCCGCAGGAAUCACCACCUUUUCUCUGUUUUCAAUCAAAUCGCUAAAUAACAUUAAUAAAACUAUACUUAAACAUGGAAUCUAAUCAAGCAUAGAAUUAACUUUUCAUGGAUAAUAUAUAUUUUGCAAAAAUGAAUAUACAAAUAUAAUUCUAUAUAUGUCGAAGCCUAAUACCGAAUAACCAGCUGAUAAAAGGACAACCAUAUCAACAAAACCUAUAUAACUUCGGAAGAAUUGUGAAUAGCUUAAUUUUUUACAUGAAAAUUAAGAGAUAGUUUAAGUUUUUUAUAUGUUUAUAAAUAAUCUAACUCUAAACUCCAAUACUAAAUACUUAAACCCUUAACCAUCAAUCUUAAACCCUAACCCUUAAGACUUAAAUAUAAUCCUACCGGUAAAUUCCAGGCUUAACCCAAAUGUAAUAGAGUUGAGAGUUGUUUAGAUUGGGAGGGAUAGAUUCUAUUGCUUCUUGAAUCUUACUGAAGUCUCCUUUGCCCGAUUGAUCAACCCUUAUUAGAAUUGCAGUAGAAAAAUCAAUGGAAGACGAAGAAGAAUUAGAAGAAGCCAUGGAUGAAAAUGUGAUUGAAGAGAGAAUGAAAAUAUUGAUGAGUAUGAUAUGAUAAUAGUUAGCAAUUGAACGUUUGGACUUUGUUUUAUAAAGACCCAUCUUGGCAUAACCCAUGUGAGGUUUCACGUCUUGGCGAUUGUGCAGAUGUCAAAAAAAAAAAAAAAACAAAUACAAAAUAGAAAUCAAGAAUGAAAAUUAUUGAAUUCAAUUGGUGAAGAAAGAGUGUGAGAAUUAGAAUUUUGAAAAGUUUGGUUUGCACAUAAAGGAGAUUAUAUAUAUAUAUAUAUAUAUAUAUAUAUAUAUAUAUAUAUAUAUAUAUAUAUAUAUAUAUAUAUAUUAUUUUAUAAUAUUAAGUAUGGUUUUUAAAGUUAGUAACUCAUAAAAUUGUGUCAUGUGUCAAGUCUAUUGAUCAGAUGUUGACAUGUGUUAGAAAAGAGUUAAUUUUUUUUUUCUUUAAAGAAAUAGAAAAACUAAAAUAGGAAAUAAAUUUAUAUAUACUAAUUUAUAUGUCUAUAUCUAAAAAAAAGUUAUUUUUCUUAACAAAAAGAAAAUUAACAAAUUUGUUUUUACAUGUGUUAUUGGUCAAUUAAGUUUAGCACAUAAUAAUUUAAAAAAAAAACAUUUGGUGUGAAGAAUAAUUAAUUAAAAAGGCCAUUGAAGUUUAAUUGUAUGUAUCAUUGUAAUAUAGUGUUUUCAUUCAUUAAAUUAAAAUAUAAAAUUUUUUAAAACAAAUUAAUGAGCUUAUGAGUAUAAAUUUUUGAAUACUUAUGUUUUAUUCUAAGAAUUUCAACGCAUCCUAUGAUGGAGGGGCUUGCAUCUUUUGAUCUAUUAUCGCAAGCUUAUACUUAUGUUUUAUUCUAAGAAUUUUAACGCAUGUAGUCAUAAGUGAAAACACAAUUUUUUUUAGGAAAAAUAGCUUAUAUGAUUGACUUUUCAAUUACUUAAUGAGAAGUAAGUAUAUUUUUAUUUAUUAAUUUUUACUCAUUUAAAAUUAGUUUGCAUGAGGUAAAAUUAACUUACGAGAUUACGCCAUGUAUAAAAAAAUAUAUUUUAAACAAUUUUUUUUUCAAAUAUUUUUGUGGAUUUCUGUUUUUUAUUAAUUAUAUUUUGUUAAUUAUUAAUCAUUUUUAAUAUUAACUAAGAUAUAGAUUUGAUCUGAUAUAAAUAUUAUUAUAUUAUUUUGAUAUAAAAUUGUUAUCACUUAAAAUGAAGUGUGUAGAAUUAUAAUCGAGUUUAAUAUGAUGAAAUAGAUAGUUAAGUUGUAUUGCAAAAUUCAAAUACUAUCGUUAAAAAUUUAUAUUUAUAUUUAUAUCUUACAUCCGCCUAAUUAGGCGGAUCUUAUCUAUAAUAUAUAUAUAUACCAAAUGGGUUGAUUAAAAAUCUAGAUGACGUGGUUGGAUUGGCCAGCGGCCGAAUUCUUAUGAUCGAAGUUGAAAGAUUGCAUAUCGUUGACAAGAGAUUUAUAUAUAUUAGAUUCAUAUUUUUAACUCUAAGCCACAAAUUCUAUAUACACUAUACUCUCCAAAACUUGUAUAAACCGGAUUUUAUUGUUAUUUACAACGUCUUCAAUGACCAUAUAGCCUUUGACACAUAUUAGACUGAAGUUCGAUUUCUAGCCUUUGACACAUAAAACAAUAUUCAAUCCAUUUGAAUAAACCACAUAGUUACACGUAUUUGGUUCACUAGAAAAGUUUUUAUCAUCAAUACGUCAAUUUAUCUACAAAUAUCUUAUGUAGAUUAUGUUUGGUAAUUGAAUUCAAACAUUAAACUAUAAGUUACGUCGUUAAUAUGUACUUGCUUACCAAUUUUUGUUUUUUAAAUAAGUAACUAAAUAAUACUUUAGAUAUACUUUACGUGUUAGGUUGGCGGCUUGCAUGCUUCCUGCAUUAGUAUUAGCGAUCAAAAAGAGAUAUAUAAUGCGCACUUAUGUAUGUUUGAACGUAAGAAACAAAAAUAUUAAAUAUGUAUUUAUGUUUCCGUCAAAGGCCAAAUAUAAAGGCCCAUAUAAACAAAACUACUUCUAUAGAAAAUUAUAGAUACCCUCAACAUUUUUGUUUAUUUACAUAUACUCCCAACAGUUUUAUUUAUCACUAAUGCUCCUUAGUCCUUACUCAUAAAGCUAAGGGUGGGCACAAGGCGAGUAUUUGCUGUUUUAGUGAUACUUGUUACUUGAUUUACCUUGUACGAGUAGUAAAAAUUUGUAUUUAUACUUGGCUUGUUGAAAACGAGUACUUGCAAUUUCAAGUACUUCUUUAAAAGUGAUUGUCUUGCGAGUUACUUGCCUUGUCUUAUUACUUGUUACUUGAGAGUUACUUGCAAGUACUUGAGAUUUAAUUGCAAAUAACACUUUCGAAUUAUUUAUUGUUAUUUGUCAUGUCUUUUACCUGUUUAUAAUUUACUUUAUUUUUGACCUAAUUUUUAAAUGUGUUUAACAUUAAUACAAUAUGAAAUAUAUAUAUAUAUAUAUAUAUAUAUAUUGGUAAAAUAAUAACAAGUAACGGAUCAAACAAGUUGAGUAUUAAUUUUUUUUUUUUAUUAUUUGUUACUUAAUUUGUACUUGCAAGUAUCUAAAUUAUACUACUUGUUUUUUGCCUUGACAACAAUAAAUAUUUGUUUUUUCAAAGCGAAUACAAAACAAAUAACGAAUACGUGACAAGUAACGAGUAAUCAUCGUGUCCAGCCCUACAUAAAGCCAGACGAGCCAUGGAUCCUUGUCAGAUUGUUACGGUCACAUGAUGAAACCAAACUCCAUGUAUCUUCUUUUUAAUACAUCCAAGUAUAGAACACGACACGAUUUCUGUAAAAAAACUAAAAACUAGUAUAUAAAUCAUUAAAUCUAGUAUCUUCUUUUACCCAAAAAAAGAUGUAUAGAACACGACAUGAUUGGUAAACGAAACAUAGUCGAAAGACAAAAAUCAACGGAUUUUUUGUUUACUAGUAUUUGAAUUAUGCUUUGAUUGGGUAGGAUUUUAACUUUUUAAGUUAGUAGCUUAUUAUUCUUUUGUAUGCGUAUGGAUUUAUAGUUUUAUACUAAUAACAUCAUAUAUGUAAUAAUUAUUCUCUCUGUUUCAUUAUAUUAGAUGUUUUAAUUUUAUUUUGUUUCAUAUUAUAAGAUGUUUUGCUAAUUUCAAUAUAAAUUUUAGGGAGACUCACAAAAAUGCCUCUUUUUCAAUACCCCUUUUCAAAAAUGCCCCAUUUGGCUGUCCAUUUUUAAAAAUGCCCCUUAAUUAUUUCUAAUAUGACUAAAUUACCCUUCCUUUCAUAACCUAAGAACUAUCGGUUCCCUCAUCUCUUCUCUCUCUCUCGCUCUCUCACGUUGAUCGGCGAGUAUUCCGAUUUCAAAUCUCGAUUCCGAUUUCAAAUCUCGAUUCCGAUUACAGAUCUCGAUCUCGCUCUCAUUUCAGAUCUCUUCUCUCUGUUUCGAUUUCGCUUUUCCUUCUGUUUUCGAGUCCCACAUCGAUUCCAGGUUAGAUUCCUCUUCUGUCUCCUUUUCGUUCAGUUUUCGAGUCCCACAUCGAUUCCAGGUUAGAUUCUUUGUAAAGUUUGUCUUUAGAGGUUAGAUUAUGUGGUUAUGUGGUUCUGUUUUGAAAGGUUUGUCUUUUACAGGUUAGAUUCUGUGAUUCUGUGAAAGGUUUUUCUUUUAGAAGCUUUUUUGAUAUCAUUUUCGACUAUUAAUGAUUGAUUUUACUGCUUGAUUUUGAAUUCUGGAUUUUAUAACAUUUUUUAAAGGUCUUAUAUGCUUUUUAAAGGUUUGUUUCUCUUAAACUUUUUUGCUUUUGUUUUUACUGGAUAUGGUUUUAUACUUUUAAUGCUUGGUUUUUACGCAGAUGUCUAACAAUGACCCAUUGGAUUUUACAACGUAUUUUAAAGGUUUUACAUGCUUUUUAAAGGUUUGUUUUUUACUGUUAAUGAUUUUAGUGCUUCAACCUUGUGUAUAUCAUCUCUGAUUUAUUCAACUUCUGGAUUUUAUAAUGUGUUUUAAAGGUUUACAUGUUUUUUAAAAGGUUUGUUUUUACUGUUAAUGAUUUUAGUGCUUCAACUUUGUGUAUAUCAUCUCUGAAUUAUUCCACUUCAAACGUUUGGUUCCAUGACAAAUGGCACAGACUCUCAGCUAGCAUAGGUCCUUGCAGGUUGAAGCAAAACACCUCAAGACCAGCAUCCUCGAUGUAGUCAAUCACGUAAAGUCGCUGCAGUUUUGGGCAUUGCUAAGAAGCUUGACAAGAUGAAUCAAACAUGUCCAAACUCUCCUAACUCGUCUUCUGAUACGAUUCCAUUAGUUGGAAAAGAAGAAAAUUUGAUGAUGAUUUAGUUACAUGUUGUUAUGUACCAAAAAGUUUUUACUCAACUUUUAUGUGUCUUUUGUAAGUUUGUAACUUAAGAAAAUUCCAUGUAACACUAUUGAUUGUUAUAUUUAGUGCUUUAAUUGUUAAAGUGAUUGCUAUUAUUAUACAAGUGACUCAAUGUGGCUCAAUACAUGUGAUUUGAUGAAAUAGUGAAGUUAAUUUUACAAUGUAUUUUAAAGGUUUUACAAUGUAUUUUAAAGGUUUUACAAUGUGUUUUAAAGGUUUUACAAUGUAUUUUAAAGGUUUUACAAUGUGUUUUAAAAGGUUUUACAAUGUAUUUAAAAGGUUUUACAAUGUAUUUUAAAGGUUUUACAAUGUAUUUUAAAGGUUUUACAAUGUACAAUGUGUUUUAAAAGGUUUUACAAUGUAUUUUAAAGGUUUUACAAUGUGUUUUAAAAGGUUUUACUAGAUAUUUUAAAGAUUUUACAAGGUGUUUUAAUGAUUUUACAAAGUAUUUAUACGGUAUAAGCUAAGAUGAGUUAUAAAACUUUGAAAAUAUUUUAUAAAGGUUUUAUAAGGGUUUUAAAAUUUAAAGAUUUUACAAGAUAUUUUAAAGGUAUUUGAAAGGUUUAGAAGGUAUUUUAAAAUGGUUUACAACAUGUAUUUUAAAGGUUCGACAACAUAUAUUUUAAAGGUUUUACAAGGUAUUUUAAAGGUUUUAAAAGGUUUUACAAAGUAUUUUAAAGGUUACGUGAAUUUUAAAGGUUUUACAAGGUAUUUUAAAGGUUUGACAACAUGUAUUUUAAAGACUUUACAAAGUAUUUUAAAGGUUAUACAACGUGGAUUUAAAAGAGUUUACAAUAUAUUUUAGAUCACAUCCACAACACAAAUCACAAUCGUUGUUCUAAAGUUCUUAAGAACACAAAUCAGAAACACCAAAACCACAUAAAACUCAAACUAAUCAAUAUAACAUCAAGUCUUAAGAUCUUCUCCAGUCUUAAAAUUUUACACAGGUACCCAUUAGGCCAUUAUGCAAGAAGCCUUUCUUCUCCGGGAAACAAAAAAUGUAAUCCACUGCACAUAAACAAUAAUCUAAUCCCAUGAUUUAUCACUCUGCAGCAAAAACAACAAUCGAUUUUGAAAUCACAACUGACAAAACUGAAACUGUGAAAUAAAACUUAACCGAAGAAGAAGAGAUUAAAGAGGAUUUUUGUGUGAUUACAGAAAGUUGAGAAACCAGAUCGAGGAGAUUACACAGUUAGACCAAUUCUUAAUCCUAUUCUCCACCAAAUCGAGAAAAUAGAUAAACACAUAAGCGAAUCUCUUAAAAAUCAAUUGAUGGACUAACUCAAUUCGGAUAUGUGAAAGAGGUAAUGACAGAUUGAGGCAGACUCGGAUCUUGGACUGCGGACACAAAUCGAUGACCAAAUCGACUACGACGACGACGAUAGAUGAAGGAUAUCCUCGCCGAUUUAACUCCCGGCGAAGCUCUGGUCGGCAAAGAUGAAGAUUCUCGACAGAUUGAAGAUGAGGUUUUGGUCUCGUCGGUGGUGUGGUGACAGGAGACGGCGUGAAUAUCAAGCACAUGGCAUCGUCCGACGACGGUGAAGAUGACAGGAGAUUGACCUUUUGUUCAUCGGCGGUGAAAGUGAUUAGAGCCGCCGAGAUUUUUGGUUCGUGCUUGUCUGGGGAACAAUUUUGUCUUUUAGGUCAAAGCCUCAUUAAGGGUAAAAUAGUCAAUUUCAGAGAAGCUAUUAGGGAUGGGGCAUUUUUGAAAAGGGGUAUUGAAAAAGGGGCAUUUUUAACAAUUUCUCUAAAUUUUAAUGCAUUUGACAACUUAUGACUAUUGAUAUUUUGUAAUCUUUUUUAUGAUUGGUUAAAUUUUCCUUAAACUAAAUAUAAAUGAUGUUUUUAAAAGAAAAAUAAAUUAUCUAAAUAUGUUUGCAUUUACCUGAAACAUCUUAUAUUUUGAAACAAAAAGAGUAUUUGUUUAGGGAAGAAAUUAAUUAUAGUCAUAGUCAUGAAAAAAAAAAAAAAAAAAAAAACUAACUCAUAACUCGUAACUCAACUUUAAAACUCAAAUCAAUUCAACUCAAGACAGCUUCCCUUGUUUGGGCUUAAGACCUUCUUUUCCUAGUAGAGUCUUUCACUUUAGAGGAAAUAGAACUACUGGCUGGAAUAAACCUUUUCCCUUAGACCAAAACUCAGCGUUUUCUUGUUUUUUAACCUAGCUUCGUUGUAAUUCUCGAAGGCGGCUACGGUUUGUGUUUCAAGUUCUUGGUGUUCCUCAUCAGAAGUCUAGAUCCUCCUGAUUCAAGUUUUCUCUUUCUGGUCUCAGUUGGAUUUCGUCUGCUCUGUCUUGCGUGCUGUUCGUUUCAGUUGAUUUUCGCUCUAUUCGGGAGUGUUUGUGGUGUGUCUUCAGAGUUUUGAAGUCAGAGUUUUAAGCUUCUAAGGUUGACAGGUGGUGUUUGUGAUGUCGGCUGCUAUGGAUAAGGCGUUGAUGGCCAUGUCCUUGGAAGAAGAAGACGUUCCGUUCGAGAUGCCAAAUCUUCCUCAAUAUAGAUCGUGUGAAAGAAAUGUUUUAAGUCUGGUUGGAAGGUUGCUCAAUCCAGAUAAUCAAAGUAUCUCGAAUCUAAUUCUUAAUAUGCCGAGAAAAUGGCAGAAGGUUGGCAGAGUUCGUGGUAUAGCUUUGUCUAAUGAGAGAUUUCAGUUCAUUUUUCGGAAUGAACAUGAUUUAGUGGAGAUCUUGGAGAAAGGAGUUCACACCUUUAAUGAGUGGGCUCUGGCUGUGGAAAGUGAUUGAAGCAGUGGUUAUCCCAGAUAAGCCGCAGAAUCAAGACUUUGUUCGGGUAAAAAUCAAGUUCGAUGUGUCCAAACCUCUAAGGCAAUCUAAAGUAGUAAAUUUGCCGGGUGGGAAGUCUACUGUGGUGACCUUCCAUUAUGAAAGAAUCCAGAAAAGAUGUUAUAACUGUCAAAGGCUAACUCAUGAAAAGGAUUUGUGUCCUCUUUUGAUUAAGCAGAGAUUAGAUCAAACAAUUGAUAGGAAGCUUGGGAAAAAGUUUGAGAAGCCCAAGCCGAGUCUUGUUUUAAAAGAGAGUGAUCCUCUUUUUGGGGUUCUGUCUGAAGAUCAAGUUGGAAUGCACCCAGUUCUUGGAAGACCUCGUAUUGCUCCGGAUGUCCUUGAAGGUAUGAGGCAGUAUCUUUUGAUGGGGGAUGGGGAAGAUAGAAAGAUCAGAGAGGCUAGAGUUAAGUCCUCAGUGGCUGAGACUGAAAAAGAUCCUUUCCUGCAAAAGACUGUGCUUCGCAUGGAACCACCUCCAUUAAUUUCUAAUGAUAUCAGUAAAGGCAGGGGAGUGGUCUUUGGGUAUGAUUCUUCUGACUCUUCCUCUAAUUCUGCUCAUUAUUCUCAGCUUGUGGAGAAGUCUUCUCUUGCUGUUGUGGAGAACAGGAACGAAGAUGUCAUCAUUCCUUGGGGAAGCAAUGUUGGGUUGGUUGAUAGUUCAAUUCAAAUGAGGCUCUUCUCUAUUCCUAUUCAGUCUGGUCCGGUACUGGACUUAAUAAGCUAAAUCCAAGAAAAAGACCGACAAAAAAUCAGAGGAAAUUAAAAUGUGCGGUCGUUGGUGGUGAGUCUGCAAAGGUUGUGAAGAAUCCUGGUUUAGAAGAAGGUGUUAUUACAAAAAGAAAGGCAGGGAAAGGAAUUAUGGUCCAAGCAAAAGCUGCAAAGUUCAGCAAAAAUGAGGUAGUCCCAAAUGAGGGACUGUCCCAUAUCUAAUGAGCAUUCUGAGUUGGAAUUGUCAGGGAUUGGGGCGGCCUCAAGAUCUGACAAUUUCUCGUCUCCUAGAGAUGCGUAAAAAACAUUUUCCGGAGAUGUUGUUCUUGAUGAAGACUAUGAAUGUUAGAGAUGUCAAUUGUAGAUAUCCAGGAGUGGUUAGGGUAUGAUAAUGUAUAUACGGUGGAACCGGUUGGCAAGUGUAGUGGGCUUGCUUUCUUUUGGAAGAAAAGUGUUUCUGUGAAUGUUCUUUUUGCUGAUAAAAACAUUCUGGAUAUGAAAGUGGAGUUUGUCCUUCUAGGUUUCUGGUCUCUUGUGUAUAUGGGAAUCCUAGUAGUGAUCUUAGGCACCUGGUUUGGGAAAGACUGACUAGGACAGGAUCUCAAAGAAAGGAUUGUUGGUGCAUGGUUGGAGAUUUUAACGAAAUUCUGCACAAUGGUGAAAAGUUGGGCGGGUCUAGAAGGAGUGAGGCUUAUUUUGUGGAUUUUUCUGUUAUGCUUAAGUCCUGUGACAUGAUUGAGUUGCCUAGCACAGGAAAUGGGUUUACUUGGGGUGGAAGAAGGUAUGAUUUGUGGAUUCAGUGCAAAUUAGACAGAUGUUUUGGAAACAAAGAGUGGUUCAAAAGAUCCCCUGCUUCUAAUCAGCUGUUUUUGGAGAAGAAAGGAUCUGACCAUAGACCUGUUCUAGUCCAAUUAUUCUCUUCGCGGGAAAAGUACAGAGGCUCCUUCAGAUUUGACAAAAGAAUGCUGCAUCAGCCACUGGUUUUGGAUGCAAUUAAAAAAGCUUGAAUGAAUCAGUUUUCUCCUUUUGGUCAUUCUGUUUCUGAUAGACUUAGACGUUGUAGAAAAUCUCUUAGUCAGUGGAAGAAAGAAAAUUUGUCUAACUCUCUGGAAAAAAUUCAAAGAAUCCAGAAUGAUAUAGAGAUUGAGCAUGCGACUUUUGCACCAUCUUUUUUCUGAAUGGACUGUUUACAAAGAGAAAUGGUAAAAGUGCAUAGGGAUGAGGAGAGUUUUUGGAAACAGAAAAGUAGAAAGAAGUGGAUGCAUUCAGGGGAUAAGAAUACUAAGUAUUUUCAUGCAUCAGUUAAGGCUCAAAGAUCAAAGAAUGGCUUGGAUAAGCUUCUGGAUGACCAAGGAAUUAUGCAUAAAUCUGAAGCUUCCAAAGGUGAUGUGGCAUGUAAGUACUUCCAGAAGCUUUUCUCUUCCUCUUAUCCAGACGAUCCUCAUGAACUAUUUGUUGGUUUUCAGCAGAGAGUUUCUCCAUUUAUGAAUGAUUAGUUGGUUGCUGAGGUUACAAGUGAAGAAGUCAGAGCUGCAAUAUUUUCUAUCAAGGCUUCUAGUUCUCCUGGUACUGAUGGAAUGACAGGUUUGUUUUUUCAACAAUAUUGGGAGGUUGUUGGACCGCAGGUUACUGAAGAAGUUCUGAGGUUUUUCAGUGAUGGGUUUUUUGAUAAAGAGUGGAACUUUACUCAGCUCUGUCUUUUACCUAAGAAGAUCAACUCUCCAUUGAUGUCUGAUUUACGUCCCAUUAGCCUUUGCUCGGUGUUAUACAAGGUCAUUUCUAAGAUCUUGGUGUCAAGGUUGCAGCCAUUCUUAUCAGAUAUAGUUUCCCCUUCUCAGUCCGCUUUUGUGGCUGAAAGGUUGAUUUCUGAUAAUAUUUUGAUUGCACAUGAGGUAGUCCAUGGAUUAAGAACUUAUGAUGUGGUGGCUAAGGAGUUUAUGGCAAUUAAAACGGACAUGUCUAAAGCUUACGAUAGGGUGGAGUGGAGCUAUCUUCAUCAUUUGCUUUCUGCCUUGGGUUUUCAUCACAAAUGGAUUAACUGGAUUAUGUUAUGUGUCUCCACUGUCACUUACACAGUUUUAAUUAAUGGACAGGCUUUUGGAAGAAUUGUGCCUCAAAGAGGUUUAAGACAAGGAGACCCCUUGUCUCCUUUUCUUUUUGUGUUAUGCACUGAAGGUCUAACUCACUUGUUGAAUAGGGCUGAACAUGAUGGUCUGAUCAAUGGUAUGCGCUUCUCCCCUCAAGGUCCCUCAAUUCAUCACUUAUUGUUUGCGGAUGAUAGCCUUUUCAUAUGUAAGGCUGAGGAGAAGCAGUGUUUAGCUAUUCAACAGAUUCUUCAUGUGUAUGGUAAGGUUACAGGUCAGGUCAUAAAUCUUGACAAAUCUUCUAUCACAUUUGGUGAUAAAGUUGGGGAAGACUUAAAAGUGAUGGUUAAAAGCCGGUUGGGGAUUGUGAAGGAAGGAGGUUCUGGAACUUAUUUGGGACUCCCUGAAUGUUUUAGUGGUUCAAAAAUUGAGAUGAUGGCUUAUAUUCAUGAGAAGCUUAAGAGUAGGUUGUCUGGAUGGUUUGCUAAGACUCUAUCUCAAGGUGGUAAGGAGAUUUUGCUCAAAUCCGUGGCUAUGGCGAUGCCGGUUUAUGCCAUGUCGUGCUUCAAGUUACCUAAAGGUACAUGCGAAACCCUUUCAAGUGCUAUGUCCUCAUUUUGGUGGAGUUCUGUGGAAAGUAGAAGGAAGAUUCAUUGGGUGGCUUGGGAUAAGAUGUGCCUGACUAAAGAGCAAGGUGGUUUGGGGUUUAAGGACAUUGAGUUGUUCAAUCAAGCGCUCUUGGCCAAACAAGCUUGGAGAUUGCUUCAGUCUCCUGAUAGUCUUUUCUCCUUAUUUUUUAAAAGCAGAUAUUUUGUGGAUCAUAAUUUCUUGGCAGCUGUUACUGGGAAUAGACCGUCCUUUACUUGGAAAAGCAUUUUACAUGGCAGAGAUCUCUUAAUUCAAGGCCUGAAACAGUUGGUGGGGAAUGGAAAUUAUUUAUCUGUUUGGGUGAGUAAGUGGCUGGAUGAUCAUGAUAGGGGAAUUAUGAGGGCUCCUUUCAUGAAAAACAUCUUGGUUAAUCUUGAUCUUCCUGUCUCAGACCUUAUUGAUCCUAUUACCAAAUCAUGGGAUAGGGAUAAAUUGGAGGACCUCUUCUUCCCUGGUGAUAUUGAGCUGAUUGUCAAAAUUAAGCCUGUGAUCUCAUCGGCUGAUUAUUUGUGUUGGAAACAUAAUAAAAGCGGGGAUUAUUCUGUGAAGUCUGGAUAUUGGUUGGCUGCAAAGAUUUACAAAGCUAAAGAUAUUUUUGCAGCAUCUGUUCAAUCGUCUCUUAAUGGAAUCAAAGAUCUGAUUUGGUCCACCAUGGCGCCUACAAAGAUUAAGGUGUUUCUAUGGAAGGUCGUUAGUGGUGCUAUCCCGGUUGCUGAGAGAUUGCUGACAAGAGGUAUGACAAUUGAUUCUAGAUGCCAAAUUUGUGGUGGAGAAGGUGAAUCAAUUGAUCAUGUUCUGUUCUCUUGUCCUCUUGCUAGACAAGUUUGGGCCAUUUCUUUUAUUCCCUCUCCAGAAGGUGGUUUUCAUGCUCACUCCCUUUAUCAUAACAUUCAUUAUGUCUUGUCAUUGAGACAGAAUCACAGAAUUCCUUUGGAGACGAGAAGGUUAGUUCCUUGGAUUAUAUGGCUACUUUGGAAAAACCGCAACAAUCUUCUUUUUGAAAGAAUGGUUUACCAGGUAGCUGACAUGAUGAGAAAAAUCAGGGAGAGCUCCAUUGAAUGGUUUCUUGCUCAGGAAAUUGAGAGAGUGGAGGAUGAGAGGCAGGACAUUGGCCCGAUCAGACACAAUAACAAAUGGAGACCUCCUGCUAAACCGUGGCUGAAGUGUAAUGUUGGGUUCUCUUGGGACAAAGCUAAAUGUACUAGUGGUGCGGCCUGGGUCCUUAGAAAUUCUGAAGGCACUGUUUUGCUACAUAGUAGAAGGGCUUUUGCAGUUAUUGGCUCAAAACAGGAUGCAGAAUUAGAAAGCUGGUUUUGGGCUUUUGAAAGCAUGAGAAGUUUGGAUGUUCUUAAUGUUAUCUUUGCGGUUGAAGGUAAGGAUAUGGUGAAUGAUGUUUCAAGACCUCAGGCGUGGCCAUCUUUCAAGUAUCAAAUAGGCAGAAUUCUUUUGUUGCUUGGUCAUAUUGCAAACUGGAAGCUGGUUCAUGAAGAAAGAAAGGCUAACUUAGGUGCCUUCCUCAUUGCCUGUAGUGUGACAAGAGAGGAUCGUAGUCAAUCAUACGUAGCACAAGGCUACCCUUUUUGGUUACAAGAAGUGUUCACUAAUGAGAGUUGUAUUGCUUAGGUGUAAUACUCUUUUUGUCUCUGUUGGUGAUUGCCCUUGAUCCUUUUGUAAGGUUUAUACCUAAACAGUUUUUUGGUUCUAAUGAAAAAUUCAGAUGAAAAAAAAAAAAAAAAACUCGUAACUCGUAACUCGUAACUCGUAACUCGAAUCAUAGCGAAUGAUGAUAUUUUUUUGGGUCUAAUCCGAAUAAAAAUUUUUUGUUUAGUGUGUCUUAUUUUAUCCAAAAAAAAAUAGUGUCGAUUAUUGUUUCUUCUGGAAAGCCGCCGACAGAAAAUUGUGGGCUCACAUGAAAUUUUUCCAUGAUGCGUCAAAAAGCAACCAAACGACUCCAAAAUAUCAACUCAACAAAUCAAAUUCUCUACACGCAACUUUCUUUCAAAUCCAAUCUCGAUUCAUUGAACCCGCGAAGACCCAGAAACCGAAAUCGAAGACCCAACGAAACCCAUUCAUCGAAACCUCGAAAUCCGUUGAAAGUUUGUUCCUUUUUGGUCGGAGAUGGAGGCUUUGCCGGAGGAUGAAGAGUACAGUUUCAGGGAAGUGGUGUUGCCGUCGUUGAUUCCGGUAGUGCAGGAGCCGGAACUAGAGAGAGAAAGCGGAGAGAGAAGAAGAGGAAGAGAUGUAAUCGUAGCCGUUGAUCAUGGUCCCAAUAGCAAACACGCCUUUGAUUGGGCUCUCGUUCACUUCUGUCGUCUCGCCGAUACUCUUCACCUUGUCCACGCCGUCUCAAGUUCGUUCUCUCUUCAAUGUGAAUAGUAAAUAGUUUGAUUUCGUGUUCUGUGUUCAUUUCCAUUUCCAGAUCUGAAAUCGGAGAUUCUAAGUCUGGUUUUUGAUUUUCUUCAUAGGUGUUAAGAACGAUGUUGUGUAUGAGACGAGCCAAGCUCUCAUGGAGAAACUAGCUAUUGAGGCGUAUCAAGUUGCCAUGGUUAGGGUUUAUUACCUUAUGUUAUCUCUUUUUUGGUGUGCCUAAUAAUGUUGUUUCUUGUUUGCUAAGUUAGGGUCUGAGAAUUCAAUACAAUCAGGUGGCUAUAGAAACAAUAGUUCUAGUCUAUUCAUUAGUUGCAUUUGCUAGCAACCACUAGUUCUUAGAAUCGAAAUCGUUGCUUAGUUUCUUCUCUUGAAUCAAACACUACUAGUUCUAGUCUAUUCAUUUGCAAAAAUUGUUGGUGUGUAUGAGAUGAGCCAACCGCUGAUGGAGAAACUCGCUGUCGAGGCAUUUCAAGUUGCCAUGGUGCCUUAUGUUAUCUCUUUUUUUUUGGUUUUUCUGGUAAUGUUUUGUAGAAGAAACUGUUUCUUAAGUUUUUUGGUCUUUUACUGUUUCUUGAUUGUUUAAGUUAGUGUCUGAGAAUCAAAUACAAUGAAUUAGUUGGCUACUGAAACUAUAUGUAAAGUUUGAAGCUUAGAAUCGAAAUGGUCGAUGUGUAGCUUAGUUUUGUCCCUUGAAACACUCGUUCUAGUCUAUUCAUUUGUCGCAUUUGCUACCAACCGUGUUAAUACAAAACCUCUGGUGUAUUCUUUGAAUUUAAUGACUUAACUUGAUACUGAUUUUUUAUGUUUAGGUAAAGAGUGUGGCUCGUAUUGUUGAAGGCGAUGCUGGUAAAGUAAUCUGCAAGGAAGCAGAGAAAGUGAAGCCUGCUGCUGUAAUUGUGGGCACACGAGGCCGGAGCUUAGUAAGAAGGUUUGUUUGAUAUACAGUAACAACUACUAGCUGUGAUCUAUAUCAGUGUUUUUCUUCUUUCUUUUUCUGAUUUUUGAGUUGGAUGAUUCUCUUUUGGAAUCUUCUGCAGCGUGCUACAAGGGAGUGUAAGCGAGUAUUGUUUCCACAAUUGCAAAUCCGCUCCCGUCAUAAUCGUUCCUGGGAAAGGUACAUGACUAUAUCAAUCAAUCAUCGUAAAACCCGAGUCAUUUUCACAGUUCGUUUGUAUAACUAAAAGAAACCUUGUGUUCUAAUGCAGAAGCUGGAGACGAGUCGAUUGUGGACUGGACACGUUCAGAAGAUCCAAAACCCUGAAGAAAAGUUCAAGUAUUUCCACGAAGACUGUUUUGUUUUUCAUUUUUCUUUCGCUAUUGUUGCAGUCUUUGUUUCUGUAAGUUCGUAAAGAAAACUUGAAAUGCUUCUUCUUCGUCUCUUUGUGUGUGUAUGUGUUUUGAUUUGGGUUUUGUAGUUUCAAAUUUCUGUAUAAAACCUUUGCUCAGGAAUGAAAUUAUUGUACGCAAUGGUGUCAUGUGUUUCAGACUUUUCACUAAACAAAUCUAUAGCAGAAACUAUUUCUUUUACGCAUUUGAUCGAACACUUGGUGUGCGUCUUUGUGAAACAUAGAAAGAUAACAGAUUUGUUGAUUACUGGAGAGAUAAGUCAACCAUGGCGGAGUUUGGAGAGCUCGAAGCUCAAGAUGGAGUUAGAAUGCCAUGGAACAUCAUCCCCGUCGCAACGAAGAAAGAACAAUCAAUCGACUCUGAAAUUCCAGUUUCCGCCAUUUACACACCUCUGAAACCUCUCGCCGAUCAUUCUCUUCUCCUUCCUUACUCUCCUCUCCGUUGCCGGACUUGUCGCUCCGUUCUAAACCCUUACUCCGUCGUCGAUUUUUCCGCCUGUAUUUGGGGUUGUCCUUUCUGCUUCAAUCGGAAUCCUUUCCCGCGUAAUUACUCUUCAAUCGCCGAUAACAAUCUCCCGCCGGAGCUUUUUCCACAUUCCACAACUGUUGAGUAUCUUUGUGACUCCUUCUCUUCUCCUUCUCCUCCUGUUUUCCUCUUCGUCGUUGAUACUUGCUUGAUCUCUGAAGAACUUGAUUUCCUCAAAUCAUCUCUCUUCCAAGCUUUGGAUCUUCUUCCUGAUACCUCCAUCGUCGGUCUCAUUACCUUUGAUUCAUUAGUUCGUGUUUACGAGCUUGGAUUCCCACACUGUACCAAAUCUUACUUCUUCCAUGGAAACAAAGACUGUACUAAAGAUCAGCUCUUGGAUCAGCUGAGUUUCUUCGUCAAGAACCCUAAACCUUCUUCAGGUGUCAUUGCUGGUGCUAGAGAUGGUCUCUCUUCCGACGACAUUGCACGGUUUCUGUUACCGGCCUCCGAUUGCCAGUUUACUCUUCACUCUGUUCGUAAAUUCAUUGCCUUUCAACUUAUCUUCUCUUUAUAUAUUCAACAUUGUGUUCACUAGUUAACUUCUGUUUUGUUUCCUGGUUUAGGUUCUUGAGGAGCUGGGAAACAAUCCCUGGCCCGUUGCACCUGAUCACCGCCCUGCGAGAUGCACUGGUGUUGCCCUCCGAAUCGCUGCUGGUCUCUUAGGAGCUUGCUUUCCUGGCUCUGCUGCUCGAAUCAUGGCUUUUAUUGGUGGACCUUCCACUGAAGGCCCUGGAGCUGUAAGUCUUUUCUCUUGUUAAUCAUAUCCGUUGGUAGAAACUCGGUGCUAGCUGAUGCUCUUUUAUUGCCUUUUUCUAGAUUGUUUCCCAGGAGCUUUCGGAUCCAAUUCGCUCUCAUAAGGACAUUGAUAAAGAUUCUGCUACGUAUUACCACAAUGCUGUCGAGUUCUAUGAGAUGCUUGCAAAACAACUCGUUCAUCAAGGUCAUGUUCUUGAUGUUUUCGCAAGUUCUGUUGAUCAGGUGAUUGUAUGGAGAAAUUUGUUAGUACUCUUUUUCUUGUUUUAUAGCUACCGUUUUUAUUUAUUAUAAGCAUCUCUAGGUAGGCAUUGCUGAGCUCAAAGUUGCAGUUGAGCAGACUGGUGGAUUUGUUGUGCUUGCUGAAAGUUUUGGCCACUCAGUAUUUAGGGAUUCUCUCAAACGCGUGUGUCAGUCAGGUGAAAAUGAUCUAGGCUUGUCCUCAUGGUAAUGGCUUACCUAACUUUCAUGUAUGUUUUCUUUAUCGAAAAUGAACAAUCUUUUGUCUGCUAUGUUUAGCUUCAGCGAGUUGUUUCUUAUGAUCUGUUUCCCUCUUACAGUGGUAUAUUUGAAAUUAACUGCUCAAAGGAUAUCAAAGUUCAGGGAAUUAUUGGCCCUUGCGCAUCUCUCGAAAAGGUAUCAUAUAAAACUGUUAAAGGUAUCUAUUUUUCCUUGAGCUUGUUGUGAUCACUUUCUGAUGAUUGUUUGCAGAAAGGACCGUUGUGCUCUGACACUGCCGUCGGUCAGGGACACACAAGCGCAUGGAAGAUGUGUGGCCUUGACAAAAACACUUCAAUAUGUUUGGUUUUUGAAAUUGCUAAAAGGGAUACAGCUGAUGUUGUUUUGCAGUCGCAGAGCAAUCAGUUUUACUUUCAAUUUUUAACAUAGUAAGGGAUUUCAAGUUUUCCAUCUUAAGUUAUUAUUGCAAGUUAUGGAUGUAAUAUGACACGCUUUCUGCUUACAGCUAUCAGCACUCAAAUGGUCAAACAAGACUCCGGGUAACAACUCUUUCAAGAAGAUGGGUAAUGGGAACUGAAAGCUUACAGGCAAGUUUUGAGUAGUAUGUGAAUCUACUGUCUUAAAUAGGGAGCCAUUUGGAAGAGAUUCUUCUAACGUUUAGAGGAUAGCAUUUAUAUUACCACUUCAGUAUGAUUGGUGGUGUAAUAUAUAUGAGAAACGAGUUGCCACACCAGUUAUAUUAUGGAAAAUUUAUGGCUUAUUUCAUCUUAUGUUCUUAGUAAUCCAUUCUAAGCCAGGUUUGAGAAUUGUUCAGUGGUUUUGUACAUGGCUAGACUAAUCCUGUUUUCUCUGCAUAUAACUAUGGUCUCUAACUCUUCCUUGGAAAUUGCGUUGUGAAGUAUAGGAGUUGAGCAAUGGUUUUGACCAAGAAGUAGCUGCUGUAGUAAUGGCACGGCUUAUUUCUUUCAAAAUGGAGACUCAGGUACUCGAUGAUGAGAGCUAGAGUUAGAUUCCUUAAGCUGAAUAGCUGAUAGAGGAUAUCAUGUUUUAGUGUUUCUUAGGUUUCUUAUUUGUUCUUUUACAGCCUGAGUUUAAUCCCCAAAGGUGGCUCGAUAAAGCUUUGAUAAAUAUAUGCACCUGGUUUGGAGAUUACCAGAAAGGCAAUCCUUCUUCCUUUAGCUUGUCUUCUCAGUUAUCAAUUUUCCCGCAGUUUGUGUUUCACUUGCGCCGAUCUCAGUUUGUCCAGGUACUCUCUUCUCACUGCCCAUAAAUACAUGAGAGACUGAAAUUACUUUUAACGCUCAAUUUUAUCUUUUUGAGCUCAUUUGGCUUUUCCCCUUUGUAGGUCUUUAACAACAGCCCAGACGAGACAGUAUAUUUUCGAAUGAUAUUGUACAGAGAGAACGUUUCGAAUUCAAUCGUGAUGAUUCAACCUUCACUGAUUUCUUUCUCAUUCCAUUCACCGCCAGAACCAAUUCUUCUUGAUGUAGCAUCCAUUGCAGCUGACAGAAUCCUACUGUUGGAUUCAUACUUCACUCUUGUAAUAUUUCAUGGUUCUACCAUCGCCCAAUGGCAAAAAGCUGGAUACCAUAAUCAACCUGAACACCAGGUAUUAUCAUCCAUAAUCUUAAAACAGAGAUGAUAAAAGUUGUCUUCUAGAGUCUGAUCUUCAUAAAAACUUGUCUUCUUUGCGCCAGGCAUUUGAGCAUCUGUUGCAAUCACCUCGCGACUACGCAGACACAAUCAUCAAUGAACGGUUUCCCACUCCGCGUCUUGUCAUAUGUGAUCAGUAUGGUUCACAGGUACCUCUCCUUCUUUGCUCAUGCCUCCAUUUUCCGACCAGAGUUAGUAAAAAUUCCGAGCUAGAGGUUCCAUUUGGAUGCUUAUUAUUGUUGUUUUGGUUGUUUCUCUUGCUGUGUAUUUUUGGCAGGCGCGUUUUCUUCUAGCAAAACUGAAUCCUUCUGAUGGCGAAGCUCCUCUUUCCGGGGAGAGUAAUGUUUUCACAGAUGAUGUUAGCUUGUCUGUGUUUCUUGAUCAUCUUAGACGACUCAUUGUUCACUGAUAUAUGAGCCUGCCAUUUAGCUAAUGACUUGAUUCGCACUCGUAACAGAUAUUUUUAUGUUUACGUGAGAAAGUGACAAAAAGAUUUAGGCAAGAUUCCUUUUUCACAUUAAACAUAAGAGACCUUAAAAAAAUGGAAAAGCACCAAAAAACUUGAUCUUAAUUUAAAAAUGGAAAAUCACCAAAACAACCUAACGUGAAAAGGAAAAGCAACAAAACCCAUACUUCGUAUCAUCAAUCUCCAAAAUAUUUCUAUAAACAAAAAUUGAAGAUUCAUUAAAGUUAAGGGGUCCAAACAUAAUUUAGAAGAACGUACAUCCAAUAAUACAAGGGGUCCCUUGUACACAAUUAAAAAUUAAGGGGUCAAAUUUGAAGAAAUAGCUAAAUAAGAUCUUCUUAAAACGCUGCGUUUAGUAACUUGCUCUCCAAGGAGAUCUACCGUGUUCUAGUCGCACCUGAUUACAACCUAGAACUGUAUAUAUAUACACGUCGUCUUUGUGCUUGCAGAGAAAGAAAAACAGAAAAAGAGAAGGAACUUGCAGAGAAAGCAAAAAAAAAAGAAGAAGAAGCGAAGAAGAGAAACUAAAGAUUCAGGUACUUUCUAGCUUCGAAUCUCUUCAUUGAUUUCUUUCUUAUGAAUUACUUGUGAUCGAUAAUGAUGCUCGCGAGUUCUGUUUACGAAUUUACUGAAUCGUCGCAGCAAGUUUUGAGAAAUUCGUUAGUUUUUGUUUGAAUCUCUCUUAGGAAUUUGGUCGAACACUUGGUGGGUAUCUUGUUUAUAUGAAUCGUUGUGAAAUUGUUUUGUUUUUGCAUCACAGAGUGUUUUCUUGCGAAUGAUUGAUCUGAUGAUUUUGGUUGUCGAGAAUCCGAAUGGUUUUGGUUAGAUGUUUAAGUUAUGUUUGUGAGACUUUAGGGUUCUUGAGACUUGGUUUCGAUUAUUGGAUUAACAUAACUAAUUGGAUCAUUCGUAUUCAUGAGAUUUCUUUGUGUUUUUGGAGCAGGAACAAAUGGCUUCCCAGACAAAGCAAACCGUGGUGGAUACACAGAAAAUUGAAACCGAGAACCCGCCAAAACCGGAAGUGCCUUUAUCAUCAUGCAGGAAGAGGGUGAAGGAUGAUAAUGCCACUUUCUUUGAAAACCUCAAGGAUCACAUGGAUGAAUUCAUCCAUGCCUCAAUGGAUGAACACAAGACUUGUUUCAAAAACACCAUGAACAAGGUUCUUUCUCUAUUCUCUACUAUCUCCUGAUGACACUCACAUUCAUGUAUAGUCAUAUUCAUUCACAGUACUAAUCUAUUAUGAAUAAACUCAUCUUGAACUCUGCAACUCUAUUGAUGUAUUGUGGAUUCGGCAUAUCGUGUAGUCUUUGCAAGCAGUAGAAAAACCGUCGCUGAUGUGUUUUAUUCAUCUUCAAGAUGCUUGUUCAUGAUUAGAAUGCAUGAUUAUCUAUGUCUAUUAUCUAUUGUUGAUCUGUCCCUUAACUCAUGUGGUUGGAUCUCUCAGAUGUUCGGGACCUUUUCGAAGUCGGAUGCAGUUGCAGAGAAGCAAUUUGAGGCUAAGGAAGUCGUCGAGAUUCACUCUCCUCUUCAGGCAGCAGUGACUAAGUAGAGGAUUCACAACUACUGAGCUCAGAAAAACUAUGAAGUGUUUUCUUUUUCUUUUAUCUUGUUUAAAGUUUUAGAACAACUUUCUAUGGUGUGCACAAAUACUCUUCAAGUAUUUGGGUGUUAAUACUCUUAGAACCUGCUAUCUUUAAUCUAUUCUAAUAUCAGACAACUUGUUUCUAGACCAUUGCAUUAAUCAUCUUUACUAAUUUCAUUUAAUAUGCAAGUCUUUAUCAUGAUUACAUCCAUAGAAGCAUACCAAUAUCUUGCAAAAAUCAUUCCCUGCUUUAUACUUUGUUUAAAUACUAAAUAGAUAACAUUGAUUGCCAUUUAACAAUUUUAUGAACAUAUGACCAUGGAUCGCCAAACUUAUAUAUAAAAGUUGCAAAAACAUUCGUUGGUUUGGCUUGGAAUCCUCUGUUAUGAACUUAUGAUUAUGAAAUUAUAUAAACUUUUUUAAUAAUAAUUAUAUUAAAAAAAAUUGUUAGGCUUGAUAAAUUAUUGUUAAAAAGUUGAUAUUUUGGUGCAAUUGUAUAUAUUUCUUCGUAAUUGGCGGAUUGGAUCCGCCCUCUUGUAUUGGCGGAUAAGACUUAAAACACUUAACCCUAGCUGUGGAAUUUUUUUUACUUGAGGAAAGAAAUAUAUCUUGGCUAACAAUUUGCAAUAUCUUAUCCAAAAUACGGUUAGAAUGGUAUUGUUUCAAUGUUAGUGUGCUGUGUUUCAAUGAAACAGUUUUAUCUUUAUUAAGAAAUAUCUUUUCACAAAAUUAUAGAUUUUUACUUUUUCCCCAAGAAGAAUGUACAUACAAUUGUUCUCAGAUAAAAUUUUGCCCUUAACAGAUUUUUACUUUUACCUCAAACAUAAUUCUUUUUUAUGUUUAAGGGGGUGUUCUUGAAAAUCUUUGAUUUAAAAUCCAUGAUUGAAUAAUAGAGAAGCAACUAGGGAUUAACAAAAUACAUUUACUAACCUUUAUUUUCUCUGUUCCUAAUUGAUUGUUGUUCUAGCAUUUUUUUUUCCAAAAAAUGGAUUUUUUAGUUCUUUUUUUCUUUUUUUUCUUAUUGAUUCAUAUUAUAAAUCGUAAACUCAAGACUCCAUGAUUAAAUUUAUCAAAUUACUAUUGGUUCGUUCAUAGCUAUUGAAAAAUGUUUGAUAUAAAAAAUAAUACUGUAAUGAUUAAAUCUUGUCUAAACAAAAAGAUAGGUUGAAACUAACUCAGGUUCGAUCCACCCUAAAAACAAAAAUCACAUUUGUUUGGGUGUGGGAAGUCUGGGCUUGGGUUUUGGCCCAAGCAAUUCACAUGGUAUCCAAGAUUAGCCUAACUGGAUACCCCAGACAUUAGUCGGAAAGCAUUCCAAACUUGGGGUUAGGCAGUGUGGUAGUCCAACACCUAGAUGUUGGCGACGAGUCCACAUGGUACCAAUUCGGCAACACCUAGGCAUGUCAAUCGGGCUAGCCUGGCCCGGCCCGAAGCCCGCAAAACCCGUACAUAUUUGAGCCCGGCUCAGCCCGUCCGUAAAAAUUCCGAGCCUAUAUUUUAAAACCCGGCCCGGCCCUAACAGGGCUACAUGGCUUUUCCGGGCUACAUAGCUUUUCCGGGCUUUUUUGGACUUUUCUUCCGACAACAAAAAAACAAACUUAUAAUUUAUAAUAUCUCUUAAAAAAAAUCUAUAUAUGAAAGGAGUCAAUCAAAAUUUAAAUAACCACUAACACUAAUUUAGUUUUUUAAAAAGAGAAUUAAAAUCAAAUAAAUAAUUCAAAUAAAUUGUUUAAACUUAUACUAGAUAAAAUAUAAAAUAAAAAUAAUUCAAAUUAGGUAGUAGAGAUAAUAUUUGUUUCUUAGAUUUAUAGUAAUACACAAUUAAAAAACUUAGUUUAGGAUUUUAAACUCUAUCAAAAACUUUUUUUACAACAAAUGUUACAAUUAAACGAAAAUAUUAACAAAAAAAAAGGGUCUAAAUAUUUUUUAAAGGGCUUUUCGGGCUAGCCCGAGCCCGGCCGGGCUAAGCCCAAAAAACCCUUUAGCCAGAACGGGCUUAGCCCGAAGGCCCGAUUUUUCCUGGACAUAUAUUUUGAAGCCCGAGCCCGGUGUUUUUUAAGGCUGGGCCGGGCUAGCCCGCGGGCUUUGGCCCGAAUUGACAUGUCUAGUUCCCUCCGGGCUGACCGGAUCAGCCGAUCGGAUAUAUAUAUAUUAAAAAAAAAAAAAGAUAAGUCCGAUACAAAAAUUAGAGUUUUCUAAGGAUCAAAGAUUAGAGAAUAUGGCUCUGUGGUUUCUGUUUGCGCACACAACCAUGGGAGUCUCUUAUGAUCCUCACUUGGAAGACGGACUACGGCAUGACUCUUCCUCCCUUAAGAAUUUACCACAUUAUGUGGAUGUUAAGUUAAGUAUACAUUUACAUAGUUCAUAUGUAGUUAACUUAUACAUUGAGAAUUAGUUCAUUUUACAUAUAGAGUCAUCUAUAUUUAACUAAACAUUAACUUUACAUCGACAUGGUUGUUAUAUUCCCAAAUAGUUAACUACUUACACAAAAUAGUUACUUCAUUUCCUUGUUCUCCUAAUUUUCAUUUUCAAUCAAACUCAGUUGUUGUUGUUAUGAGUUUAAGAUCUUGUCUAGUAUUACAGACACAACUCAGAAGUAUUCUUUGCCCUAUAUCAUAAACAGAACAAAAUAAACAAACUUUUUCAGAGAACAAGGUAUUAAUAGUUGAGCAACAACAUAAUUAUUCUAGAAACUUAGACAAACAGUUUUAUGUAGUAUUGGAUUGCUACAAAUGUUUACUGAUAAAAAAUACAGUUCUAUGCUAACAAUGUCUGAUGAGAAGAAGAUUAACAUCAAAUUCUUCAAAGCAAAUGAUUAACAUUUUUUUCUCCUUGUAUAUUCUCUCAUCAACCAAUAAAAAUCCCUGGCCCUGACCAUGGAUGGAGAUUCUCCAUUUCCUAAGUUCUUUUCUUCAAAGAUUCCAAGAAACAAGAAAAUAAAAAUAACUCUACUGUUAUAGGCUGCUACUAUGGCUGAUUUAGGACCAGUCUUGUGUCUGUGGAUACUUUUUUCCCUCAAAUGGGAAUAGCUCUUAUGGGAUUCCUGGUGAUAAUAUGCCAUUUCCUUCUUUUGCGUAAAGUUUGUCCGAAUCAAAUUUUGUAAAGGGAUCAUUCUUUUGUUGAUAAUAAUAUCUCACCACUAUCCUCAAAAAAUCCUUCUAAAACAUAUUGAGCUACAGAAACUUCCAUUAUAGUGUGAUUACUUCAGGUUCGGGUUCUUCUCCAAGUUGCGCAAAAGGAGCAAACCACUAGGAGAGGAAUCAGAAUACUUAGUUUUUGUUUCUUGCUAGAUUUGGGGAUAAGGGUUCCAAAUAUCAACAUAAAUUUUGUAACAAAUUUAAAAAGCUUACUCUUUACCUUCCUUUUCAUACAGAUUCCUUGUAAGCUACUCCUGGUAAAUUCUCAACAAUGAUCACUGGAGCUAGAAUCAAGACAGAUAUUGGAAUAAAAUCCUCAAGCCUUUACUGGUGUAAUAGUGAAAAAGUAAAAAUAAGCCUUGCUCAAAAACAAGCAAGUGACCUUAUGAACUCAAGAUUAUUAUUUCCACAACUAAAGAACCUAAAUGUGGGGAAAGUGUUUCAUUUUUACCAUUUUAAUACCUAGGCAAAGAGGGUCGCUGUGAAGAAUCGUGACGAUGAGAAUAUCAGUAGUGCAAUGCCUACUAGCAGAAUUUCUUAGCAACUUGCAAUCUAUUAUCUCUCUGGAAUAUAUUGUGCCCCAAGGCCUCAUUAUUAUUAAGAUUCUUUCUCUGUUUAAAGUUUUCCUUCUCGAUAAGAAGUUUCGCCCUAACCAAACCACGACAUCUUAGAAACAGAACCAUCCAUAUCAUAACUAGAAUAAAAAUAUCUAGAUCUUGAGAUAAUUUGGAUCACAGAAACGAAAAUAUCUUUAUAGAAGUGCUUAUAUUGGCAUAUAUCCAGAAAGAGAGCAAAUUAGAGUAUCAUAAGACCUCUACAAGUAAGGGAAUAUCAUCUUAAUUACUUUGCCAAGCUAAUAACACUUAGUGAAACUAUAAUCAAGAAAGAUCCAAGAAGUAUGGUUCUUAGUAGCUUUACUUUAAAAAAUGUGUAGGCAAUAACUUUACAAAGUCUUGGAGUCUUUUGAAAACUAACCUGAUUCAAUAGCCAUAACUGAUAAGAUAUGAGUAUGGUCGUCCAUCUCCCAUGGCACUUUGAGUCACCUGUGUUUCCGAGAGAGGAAAAUCUUGAGACUUUAAAUCAAUCUGUCAACUUUACUAUGAGCUAAAAUCAAACAACAAGUGCAUCAUUAAUGAACAACCUUUGUUGCAUGAAAAGAAAAUCUUCAAAUCUUUAAAGAAUGACAUAACCAUGAAACAAAAUGCUCACUUUCUGAGUUAAAACCAAACAACAAGUGGAUCAUUGAUGCAUGUUGUCUUUUUGCCAAGUAUGUAUAUAGUCCUAUUGUGCAUUAUUUGGUGUGAUCUUUUUAGCAACCUAAUUUAGUUACAGGACAAUAAUCUAUUUGCCCAUCCCAACCCUGGAUUCUUACCAAACAAGGUAACUAAUUGUUCUUGUGAAACAUCAGUGUUUAUAAUACGACAACAAACCAUUAUAAUAUGUAAAAAUUUUGGUUCCUGCCCAUAUGCAAUAAUGCAGACACCAAAGAACAGGAAAAAAAAAACAAUUUGAAUAUCCACCAAGAAAAGUGAUUAUUUAACAAAUUAACAACCAAGAAUCCACAUUAGACAAUAUAUGACCAAGAAAAACACAGUUGCCUAACUUCAAGGAGAUGGACCCAACAAGGCAAGGAAAAAAAAGGUAGGUAAACAAUGUUGACCUUUUUUUUUCAACAACAACAAAACACACAAAAAAUGUCGAUGAUUGUACGGAAAGAUCUAUACAGCUAAAUAACUUGAUAUGAUGUCCAUGGCAGAGAAUCUCAAGGUAAAGCUCUGCCCCCACUUUCCUUUAAGAAUUCUUCUUAUACAAGAGAAUAUAUGACUUAUGGUGAACACACGAAAAGCUCUAAUUUUGUGUUUGUGGAUACAAAUUAAUCCUCACAAUGUUUCAAAUCACUGAGAUUUUUUAUAAGAAGGAAAUCUGAAUAGUCAAUGAAAAUCAUCUGUCAAUAGAGACUUGUCCCUAACUUUAAUCCAAAGGCUUGUAAUUUUCCUAGUCUCGCGAGCACGUGAGCUUUGUGCUGUGAUUAGAGACCAGACUGUUCCAUGACUUAAGUACCAUAGGUAGAGAGAUUUUCCUAACUAUUUAUUACCUAAACUGUUUCUUUUGACAACAAGCUUAAUCUAGAGAAUGACGUCAUAACCACUAAUUGGGAAAGAAAAGUAAACACAUUAGUUAUAACAUUUAUAGAAAAGUGUCUCUAGGGAGCAUCAUAUGCCAAAUAUGGAUAGAAAAACGCAAUCUUUGGUUGAUUAGUUUGGAUCUUUGAUACUGAUCUCCACAACAAAAUUUGCUCAUAUUAUUUUCUAGCUAUAGAGACAAAGACUUAAAAUUCUCUUUGUUUUGGCAAAGAUAUCUUUAACAACUGGGCCUACCUCACACCAAAACCUCUUUAUAAAGAGCAAGGACUCUGCGACAUCUGUGCAACAUAUCAUUUCCUCAGAAUCUCUUUCUUAUUUUAACACAAAACCAAACAUCAACUUUAGUUACUAAACAAUGGCAUCAGGCUCAAUGUCUUCUUAUGGCUCUGGCUCAUGGACUGUUAAGCAGAACAAAGCCUUUGAGCGUGCUCUAGCAGUCUAUGACCAAGACACUCCUGACCGUUGGCACAAUAUUGCUAGAUCUGUUGGUGGUAAAACACCCGAAGAAGCUAAGAGACAAUAUGACCUUCUCGUGCGUGACAUCGAAAGCAUCGAGAAUGGUCACGUGCCGUUCCCUGACUACAAGACUACUACUGGAAACAGCAACAGAGGCAGGCUGCGUGAUGAGGAAAAGAGGUAAUAAGACACAUUUUAUACUAAUAACAACUAAAUCAACUUUGUUUAUCCAUAAUAGCCCACUAUUAAGAUACUUCUAUAGCAUGACAAGAAAACAUAAAAAAGGGCAUGUCUGUUUCAGCAGAAAGCUUGUUACUUUACAAAGAUUCUCUUAUAUUAAAGUUAUGAGAGGCUCUAAAUCAUCCAAGUGUUCUCUUCUCAGUGUUCUUGAGGCUUUAUCACAACACAAACUAAAAGCUCCCAUAUAAAAAAAAUAUGCCUAGAAAUAGAAUCAUUCCUUGUCAAUAUUAAUUGAUUCCCAAAUCUUUCACCAAGAAACUUCCAGAAACCUAUGAAACUCGAACCAACAAGAUUUUAAUCUCUCUUCUUUUUGCAGGAUGAGAAGCAUGAAGCUGCAGUGAAACAAGAAGCAACAAAAAAAAAAAAAACUAACUACGUAUGAUCGUCAAGAAAAUAAAAGAGAAUCACUUCAGGGAGAUGUGUUUUUCUCAAUGUCUGACGAAUCAAUGUUUUUUUUCUUGCAAUUUCUCAUGUUUUCCCUAAGAAUUGGUUUUUUUUUUUGAGGCAAAAAAAAGCACUCGAAUUAGUUAACCAAAAUCUGUAUUUAGGGUUCUUCGUAAUGAAAAAUCCAUUGUCUAAAAUCACAAUAAAAAUGUUGAUUAUAUAUUACUAUCAAGCUUUAACGAAUAAUUCAGUCACGGAUUAAUCUCAACCAAUCUGAAUCAAUGUUGCUUCAAAAUGGAAAAAUCCAAAGUGAUAAAUCAAUUAAAUAUAAUGGAGAAUCCAAUAAUGGAAAAAGUAUAUGCGAAUCGGACAAGAAGAAGUCUCGAAAUCAACGAAUCAAUUAACCAAUCUCUAUUUUUAGGGUUCUUCGAAAUUUGGGAAUUUUUUUUUAUCAAAUUAUUCAACUUUGAAUGUUGAUAAUUGGUGAAUCACUGUUUAUUGAUAAUCAAAUCAUGUCACGGGAAGAUAAAAACUCACCUCGAAAAAUCUGCAAUUUCUGAUCGCAAUCUUCAAAAUCCAGCGAAAAUCAAAUAGAGUUUCAAAAUUUUGGGAAUUUUAUAGAAAACCAAAACCCCCAAAUUUUCAAUUCAACAGUUUUUUUUUUUUGGUAUAGAGAGGAAAAAACAAAAUUAGGCGGGAAAUCUGAUUGUUCAAAAAGUAUGUCAAGUGCAAUUAAUUAGUUAUACCACAGAUAUACCGUACGGAUACGAUUUUGUACCCAUGUACGGUAUACCAAUACACAUGCAUAUGUCCCUCACCGUAUUCUUUUUUUUAUGAAUACAGUCAUUUUAUUUCUUAAACUGAAGUAUAUCCACUAAAGGACAAGUAAAACUUGUAUUUUGUUCGUGUUAUCUUUGAUAAAAUGCCAAAGAGAAAAACAGAAUGACUAGAACCCAGAUUAUCUUUGGUUAAUGGAUUUCAGCGGAUUGUGAGAAGCUCCUUAUUUUGAUUAAGCGAUGGGUACAGAAAAAUCAAGAAUUUUGUGAGAGAAUAUGGUCAAAAAUACUUCUGAAAGAUUACUUCUAAGCUUUCCAAGUAUCAAAGAAUACCUCUGAGCAAUGUUAGAUCUCCAAGUAUAGACCAAGAGUUUUCAUUUGGUUAUGAAGUUCACUUUACUAUCUCUAAGGAGAAAAGGGAUCUAUGUCUACAUCUUCAAGUGAGCAUUGAAAGACUCAAGCUCCUAUUAAGUCAACAAAUUUGCGGUUUCAAACUUAGCGUAGUUGUUCCACUCACGAUAAGUUUGCGGGAGAGUUUUAGAGCAUUUAUAGCAAGGCCAAGAUUAUGAAUCUAUGAUAUUGGAAAAGCCCAGGCCAUGUAAUUAGAUCUAAGCAAGUAGGUUCAUAUAUAUAGUCUCUUGUAAUUAACAUCAAAUAGUCAAUCUUGAGAGUUGCCUCAAAACUACUCUACUUCUUCAUCUUAUGAAAUAUCAAAUCUUGUGUUUUUGGUGACAAUCAAUAAAGUUCUUUACUUUUAUCUUUCUUUGCAUAAUAAAGCUCUUAAUGAGCUAUCUAGGCCUGGGCAUUCGGGUUCGGUUCUUUUUUUCGGGUAUCGGGUCUAUUCAGGUAGGGGGUCAAGACCCAUUCGGGUAUUCUAAAAAUUCGGUUCGGGUUCGGGUCGGUUCGGGUAUUUUAAUAAAAAAAGCAAAAUACCCGAAAAUAACCAAAAAUACCCGAAAUAUUUUCGGGUUCGGGUUUUUAACUCAUAUAUACCCAAAUCUAACCGAAAUACCCGAUUUCUCAAAAAUACAUUGGUUACUCUUUACCCAAAUAUAACCAAAAAUAUCUAAAAAUACUAAAAUUACCCAAAAGAAAACUACAUCAUUAGUUACUUUUUAACCAAAUAUAUCCAAAUGUAUCCGAAUUACUCAAAAAUACCUAAUAUAUUCGGAUUUAUGAUUGUAAUUUUAGGUAUUUUGGGUAUUAUAAAUAUAAAUAUAACUAAUAUUUUUAGGUGUAUAUUUGUAUUCGGGUACAUUCGGGUACAUUCGGGUAUUGGAUUCGGUUCGGGUUCGGUUCGGGUUUUUUUCGGGUAGGAGGUUAGGACCCAUUCGGGUAUUUUUAAAAAUCGGGUUCGGGUUCGGUUCGGGUAUUUUUCGGGUUUUUCGGUUCGGGUAUUCGGUUCCGGGUAUUUUGCCCAGGCCUAGAGCUAUCUUAUUUUCAGUUUUAGAUUUCAAUGUUAAUAAGAGCUUGAAUCCUACUAGCUAUGGAUUUUCCUACAUGAACAACCGUAUCAUAUUUUGUAUGUAAAUAAUAUUCUAUCGAAUUGGUAUAUUUAUGCUAUCCAUCGAAUAAAUAGAUGUUGACAAACAUAGCACACUGAUGGGUGUUAUAUAAUCAUAGAUUUUUUGUUUGAAUUGAAUGUAAAAUUGUAUUCAACCAAAAACUUUUGUACAAUGAAUACGACUGUUUGUUCUAGAGUUUCAAUAAAAUAAAAUAAAAAGAGAGUUUGAGGAAAUAUAUAUAAAUGGUCUUGAUUUUGGUGUUGAUCGAGUAGAGAACCACAAAUUUAGGCCGUUAUAUGAUCUCCUAAGUCGCUGAUUGAGUUGAUGCGAUUCCGGACAAUUUUUCCAAUGAAUUUGCAUUAAUGUAACUGAGCUUUUGGAGAUCCAUGUGUCUUCUUGCGUUUCUCUCAUUGCCAAAUGUGGUAUUGUGGUAUAAAGUGGUUUGGAAAUUGGAAGACUACAAUUAUGGAUUUUAAAUCUAGAUAAUUAACUUUAGGAUGAUUGAAUAAUAUCCUCUAAAUUUUUAACUAUUGUUCCAAAUAUGUAAAUAACUUCCUUUUUUUCUUUAAAAUACUAACCAAGACGAAUAAGGUCCAAACCAUGUUGGAGAGCUGAUUCUAUGACGAACCCAAUGCCGGAUGAAACCAGUAGAAUAUGAUCUGUAAGAUGAAGGAUGGUUCGGUUCAGCAUUUAUGAAUAUCCUCGAGCAUCGCAGUCUUUUCAGAAUUAAAACCAAUGAUAUUUAGCUUCGGAUUUUAUGUUAAAAUUAAUAGAGUAAUUUCAUGUUUUUCUUUCGUUAAGCACUAGAUGUUUCUCUAAUUAUUGUUCCACAAAUGUUACUCAACUUCUCUUAUUUUUCUUCUUUCAUUACUUACUAGAGAAAAUUCCGGGCUAUGCCCGGAUAUAUAUUUAACAUUCAUCAUAUUUUAAAUUAAUUAAUAUAGUUUAAAUUCUUUUAUUUUUUUAGUGUACAUACGAAAAAUCAUGUGAUGUUUAUUUUAUUCCAAAUUCUCUAGUUCUUUAUUUAUAAUAUGAAAUUUAUGAUUUUCUUCAUGUUAAGAAAUAUUUUAAUUAUUUUAUGUUUUCAAAGAUUAGAUUACUAUCAUCUUACUCCAUAGAUAACAUUUUGCAUAUUUGAUAAGUUUGUGGAAUAUUUUAGCUAAACACUAUUGAGUAUGCAUGGUUUUCUAUGUUUAAGAAUCAUAACUUCAUAAUGCCAAGUUCUAGCGCGGGUUGUUUCUUUUUGUGUUUGUACUUUGUCGUUUGUAUUAUGUGGAUAUGAAUUAGAAGGUAAUUCAAUUUCUCGUCCAUAUAAAAAUUCGACUGUAGUUUAAUUCAGCGUGAAUAUACAAUUUAAUUGUAUUUUGCAUAUUAAACAAGAAAAUAUGGAAGAGAGAUGGAAAAUAAUCAAUGGAGAGACUCGAACACUUAUGCUAAAAGUCAUCAUAUUAGCGAAUUGAACACUUAUAUUUCAAUUUUCUUUUCUCCAAUCUUUGUGACUUGCAGCAUUCUCCUUCUCCUCCAAAAUUUUCUCAUGCUUAAGCACGUGAAGAAUGUUAAGUUCCACACAAAGCGAGUCUUACCUUUGUGAAAAUAUCCGUAAAUGAUAUUUUGUUGGACUGAAAGAAUUUUUUUUUAAAAGAAUUUCAAGAAUGAUGAAGGUCUUUGGAAGUCACUUUUGGAGAACCUUAUAAAAUUUAGAAAGUGGAUCCAUACCGUAGUCAUAUUUGCUGCCUUUGACAUCCUUAAUCAAUCCUUGCUAGAUCUUCUUUCUCUUAGUCGUCCUAUGCCUGCAGAUAUAUUGUUCUAAUAAUACCAUAAUAACAUGAUUUUUUUAAAUCGGAAGAGAAAGUGGAGAAGUGAUUGUUGAAUACGGAGAAGUGAUAAGUCAAUAUAAAGAUUGAAGAUGCGAUCAAAGUUGUGAAAGAGGAAGUGGGAACGAUUUGGCUUUGUAACAUUAAUUUGUGUUAUUAUUUUCUUAAGAACAUUAAUUUGAUUAGUGAGAGACUAUCAUAAUUGCCUUAACCAAGAAAGAAGUUAAAGUCGUAAUAUGUGAGGUUAUGUGGCAACUUGUAGUAGAGUUUUAAAAUGAUGAUGUGGAUAGCUUGAAAGGCUUCAAACAACACCUUUUAUUAGUAAGAGAUUAUUUCACGACCAGGGAACCGCGCCAACUACGUCAAAAUUUCCAUUUUCACAUAGUCCAGAGUAAAAUGGGCCGAAAGUGGUGGACCAACCAAGACGACUAUAAAGUCCAAACGAUGUACAAAACUAUAUCUUGUGAAUAUAAAAUCUGAUAGACCCACCCAAUACAACACUUUCUUUAUCAAGAAAAAAGACACCGAGACUUUUCUUUUGAAAAAAGAUACACUCAUACACCGAGACUUGUAAAUAAUAUUGUUGUUGGUUUUGUUCUUCUCGAAAAUAGUAUAUAGUUUUCAAUUUUAAAGUUUUUAUAAUGAAUAAGGAUUGAAUGUGUAUAUUUUUACCAAACUAUAUAACACAUGGUCCUAAAUAUCUUCAUUUUGUCUACAAAAAUCAUGAGUUACAAUUUUGUAUCUUUUUGUGAAUUCAUAAAAAUAAAAAACAUUUCGUGUAAGGAUGCACAACAAGUACAUAUCAUAACAAUUACUUAUGUACAGUAUUUCUUUAAUUUUGUUCUGUUUAUCGUCUCUUUAGUAAAUUGGAUCACAAAAAUAAAUUUUAUAACAUGUUAUAUCAAAACAAUUUAUGUUUGAAAUAAUCCUAGUAGUCUAAAUUCGGAAAAAAAUCAGUAAUUUCCGAGUAAUCUUGAUGAUGCGAAUAAACUAAAUAGAAAAAUAUCAAUAGAUUUAUUCAAAGGUAGUGUGGUGAUUGGUCUAAAGAUAAUCAGUAAGCACAAGCUUCGCUUGUAUUAGUGCCUGUAGUAGUUCUUCAAACAAGUGUUAUUGGAGUUUUUUCCGACAUGGUGACUGAAACUCAUGAACUUUGGAGUUAAAAAUUGCAAGAUUUUGAAGAUUUUUAAGGUACUCAAUCGUAUCAAAACUACAACAGCUGAUGAAUCAUUCCACAAUUUCUCAAACGGAACAAAUCUUGUAAUUUAGAAGAUAGAAACAAUCGACACAGAUGAAAUCUCGCGAAGAAAAUUGUUAUUUAGAGAAUGACAAGUGACUUAACAUUACGUUUCCAGAUACCAAAAUACCUAAUCACGAACUGUUACAUCAAAUCUAAAGCAGAACCAAACCAAACAGAGAACACACAGAGAACCAAGAAGAUAGCAUAACGAGCGAGAGAGAGAGAACAUUCAUUGAUAAUCCCAAAUCUAAUUAAAGGAAUUACCAUCCUCCUCCACCGCUUCCUCCGUAACCUCCUCCUUCACCACCACCGUAUCCUCCUCCACCCUCACGUCUUCCACCACCGUAGCUUCCGCCACCACCACCUCCUCUUGAGGAGUAACCGCCACCACCGCUGUAUCCACCUCCUCCCUCACGUCUACCGCCGCCGCCACCUCCGUAGCUACCACCGCCACCUCCGUAUCCACCACCACCUCCGCUGCGGUAUCCACCGCCACCACCUCCACGGCCGCCUCCUCCGCCGCCGCUUCCUCGUGACUGAGCCUCGUUAACAGUGAUGCUACGUCCAUCGAGCUCUUGUCCGUUCAUUCCCUCAAUCGCAUCCUUCAUGGAUUUCUCAUCCUUGAAGGUCACGAAUCCGAAUCCCCUUGAUCUUCCAGUCUCACGAUCGUUAAUGAUCUGUUAUCCAAAAGCCAAAAAAAAACCAGAUCAGCAAAACAAUCCAACAAAGCUGAACAAAAUCAUUAGAUCUACUUCAAAAAAAAACACAAAAUUCCGAUCGAUCUCCGGGCUCACAGAAGCAGGAAGAUGAACGUACCGAUUUUGGGAAAAACAAGUAACAGUAACAGUAGUAACAAAGAACGAAUAGUAGUAACAGAGUAACAGUAAUCGAAUCAAGUAACAGAGAAACACAAGAUCGGAACAGAUCCGUCGAGGAUGAGAUCAUCGAAAUCACUCGGAGUCCGAUCUCGGCGUGUAACAGACCUUGGAAUCAACAACGUCGCCGUAUUGAGAGAAGGCAGUUUCAAGAGCUCUGUCAUCAGUGGCCCAAGCUAGACCUCCAACGAAGCACCGAUACUCAACAUCUGCGGACGCCAUUGAAAUUUGAGAAGAAGAUCUAGG
Molecule: long non-coding RNA, 87184 nt
Filed under: Arabidopsis lyrata
Lineage: Eukaryota; Viridiplantae; Streptophyta; Magnoliopsida; Brassicales; Brassicaceae
Description: long non-coding RNA (ALYR_LNC001860)
Source: RNAcentral